UUUUUUUUUUUUUUUUUGGGUCAAUCUGUAAGUUCAUUCAUUUUGAUUUUUUUCCAUGUACUGACCGUAAACUUUGUUCACGUGUGGGAAUAUGCUUUGGUAAGGAUAAAACCAUAAAAAGUAUUGACAGCCAAUGGGAAAAGAAUUCUUCCAUUGUUUUUCUGGUUCAAGAACUUGGCAUGGUACCCUGAAUGAGAUACAUCAAGUCCAAACCCACGAAAUUCGAGAAUCAGAGCCCGGAUAAAGAUGGUAUUAGGAUCCUUCGUAUAUAGCACAUGAGGAGAACUCUAUUCACUUGGCAAUUUGCAAAAACGAUUUAUAUGUGGGGAUAAAUUGUUAUUUAAAAGGGAAGUAUUAUUUGCACUCCUAUUUUUAUUAAUCACAUUCCUAUUAUCAUUUUAAUUAUAUAAUUUUAAUUUAUUAUACUAUAUGAUAAAACAAAUGAUGUAAGUGCAAAUAACAAAAAAUGGAGUGCAAAUAACUUUUGUCUUUUACAAAUUACCUUUUCUUUUUUGGGCAAUUUUGGCAAAAGUCAUACCUCUAGAAACUUUUCAUGUCAAAGGGCCGAUAGGAAUUUUCUUCGUUAAAUAUACAUAAAGAAUGAUACUUAAAGAAGAAAAGAGAAACCGAAAUGUGCAGAAUGAUACUCAGAGAAGAAAAGAGAAAGAUGCAGUUAAUAUAAAUCCUAAGCUACAUUGGAAUCCAAUAUGAGAAUUUAUUCUUUUACUUUAGUUAUCUACUUAUCUUGACUUAAUAGCCUCCCAAUACUUUUGCACGUGGGUUUGGAAAUUUAUAGUAAUUAUUUUCCUCCUUUUUCAUUAAUAUCCUUGUUUCAAAUGGGAGGUAGGGUAGGAUUGAGAAGGAAAAUUCGCAAAGUGAAAAUCCUUCUAAUUAAAAGUUGAUCAAUGAAAAUUCUUCUGAUUAUCCUUUUCUACACUGUCGAUUAAAAUCCCUUUUACAUGAGCAUGCAUGAAUGAAUACCCCAUGUGAAAAAAGAGAAAUUCAAAUUUCAAUGGAAGUUAUGUGUCAUAUGGACCUAUUCUCAACUGAUUUUGAUUUUAAAAAAAUGGCCCAAAAUUAGAAUUGAAAAAGCAGGAAUAUUGUAACUUUUAAUUUAGAAAUUUUUGUAGAGUUAAAAAAUAAAGAUGGAAAAAGAAAUAGUUGAAAACAUCAUAUAACUAAAUUUCUACAAUUAGAAGUUAAAAAAUCAAUUGACAAUAUACUAGAUCCGAUAAUGAAAAAAAUUAUUCCAAAACCUUACGCAUAACACUAUGUUCAUUCUUCAAAAAAUAGAUGCCGAUGAUAAAGCAUAAGUCAUGCUAACAUUGGGCUGUGGAUGAGUAAUCAAAACUACGUACAAAUGGCAUAAAUUUCAAAAUAUUGGAAAAAAGAUGUUUUCAACAAAGAUCAACUUAACUAUUUAACUAUCUUGACUUCCACAUCCAUUAGUCAAGGCCAACUAAAUCCUCAAUUGAUUUUGAGAUGAAGGACUAGAUUCUUCAACAUGGCAUCAAAGCUAACUUUGGACUCUUCUGUGCAUUGAACUUGGUUUCAUGGAUCUCUUUCAUGAUAAUGCUCAUUCUUGUUUGUUCAGACCGAGGCACGUGUAAAAUAGGUGUUAAACAGAGAUCAGCUAAACUAAUUAAUAAGAUCCUAGGCUACUUUUAUUUAUAGUGGUUAGCCAGAACCAAUUAAAGUGCUAAUUUCUUUAAACUGCUAAUUUCGACUAGGAUCUUAUUAAUUACAGUGAAAAAAAUUCAACAGAGAUAUUAGAGAACCUCUUUGAUUUAAUCGAAUCUAUAUAUCUGCUAAUUUCUUAUAUAGCUUAUUUAAACUUUCAGUCUCUGUAAAAUAAAUUAGAUUAGAUUAUAAGAAUAUUAUGGUAAUUAGAAAAAAAAAAAAGACAAGGUUUGGUUCAUCUUGGAACAUAAAUGCCAAAGGACUGGCAGAAGUACAUGCAAACUCGAAUCCUUUGUCCAUUAGAGAAAGGGAGAAAAAAUACAUAGAAAUAUGUCAUACGAUGUGACUUUAAAGCUUUGCAAAUAAAAUUGAUGGGACUCAUGGGAGUCGAAUCCUAACAAAAAUUUUUUUUUUUUUAAAAAAAGCAGGUGACUUUACCACUCCAACAAACACAUGGCCCCUUCCGAGAAAAAAUAAAUAAAGCUCUGGUUAUUACUUUUUCUUUACUUCACCUGUUAGGUGGAUAGCAAAACCUUAUGAAUAACUAUUAAAUAUCAAAUAGCAAAAUAGUACCUCUUGUAACUAACAUAAUUGCCAUAUGUACAUAAAAAAGUAUAUUUGCAACCUCAACGAUAACUUCCUUUUUCCCCCCCAAUUUAUCAAAGGUUUAAUUUUUGAUUAACUAAAGUGGCAGCUAAAUGGACAAUUAAAAAAAAUAAAAGUUGAAUGGGCCAAGAUUUUUAGGUGGAAACGUAAAUGGCCAAGUUAAAAUGUAUACAUAAAAAAUCAAUGUAUUAACUGAAAUGCUGCCGCGCGGCGCGCAGGCCUCAUGUGCACCAAUGCCAGAUAGCCAACACUUGAAUGCAGAAUAAAACUUCCUCUACAUUGAUACAAAGUAUGCAUGCCUUCUUAGUGCUCAUUAAUAAAACAUAUAUUUAUAAGGAUGGCAAUUGGAGUUUGAUUGGUGGGUUCUUCCUUUAAUCAUUUCUCUCUUUAUAAGAAGACCAAAAUGUACAUAAAAUAAAUUAAAAAAAUUAACAAGAAGGAUGUGGAGGGGAAAUGGAUCAUAGAACAUUGAGAGGUGAGACUUUGGCUAGCAUCUAACUUCAUAUCCCCACCUUUUCGAUGAAUAUUAUUAGUGAAAUCAUUGAUGAAGCAUGCAAUGAUAAAAUUAUUGGUCAUAUCGGAUUUCGGCGAUACGAAUGUUGAAAACUACAGUAUUUUUAAAGAUCAAAUGAACAUGGAAUAUAGGAAUCAGAUAGCUUUACUAGGAAAGGAACCAUUGCAGCUUUCACUUUUCGUUGCUGAAACUUUUUUAAACUAUUGAUUUCAUUUCAUCUCUUUGAACCCUUUUUCUUUCUUUUUCUGUGAUCAGAAAUGUGUGGUCCAGAAUUAAAUAUGGCCAUCUAAUUUUUCUUUCUUCAAACCUUUUUCUUCCACAUUAUUGGUCUCUCGUUUUUUCAAAGAAAGAUUUAAAGAAUAAAUUGUUCUAUAGAGAUAGUUAGUGAAUGUGGGGAAACUGCAGAGCGGCAUCAAUGAUUUGGGAAUCGGGUGGCGAUAGUUCAGUUUAAUUUGGAUCGUUCAUUUUAAAAUUUUUAUUUAAAAAUAAACGACACAAAUCAGACCUGACUGAUAUGAUUCAAUUUAUUCUGAUAAUUGCAUUGUACAAUUCUAAUUGCAACCAUGCAAUCGCACAUGCCCCUCACCCCGUAGCUAGCAGAAAGAACCAAUACUCCUAUAGGAGGCACGAAUAUUCUCUGCUCUUUACUUUGGAAAGUGACAAGCAGACCAAGAAGUUUGGAUGGAAUUUAUUUUGAGUCAAAUGUCACUUUGAUAAUCUCUAAUUAGAUGCUAUAAGUUGCAUCAAUGAAUCCCCGUCCAAUAAUUUCCCCUGCACAUUUUGACAUAAACUAUCGAGAUAAUGUUUUACACCACCGAUUUUUAUCGAGAAUAAAGUUAUUUAUGCCUCAUCACAUCUGAUCUCAUUACGAAAUAUUCAAUCUAUCAAGCUUUAUGCAUCCAAAAUUGUAAUUAGAGUAAUGAAUCUUGGCCGACUGCGAUUUAAGAGUCACAGAGACACGUAGAUUAAUCUAAGUUGAGUAUUAUAGGCACGCACGUACAACUAUAUGAAUUAGUACUCUUUAUCGUUUUGAGACUUUAGAAAAUUGCACGAGUGUCUAAAGAUUAAGAUGUGGAUAUAACUAAGUUAGGUAUAAAGGAAAUAGAAUAAGAUUAGAUUUCAGAAAAUUGAUGGUUGAUGAUUUUCUAUAAUUUUCAAAAUCACAGCGAGUAAUCUGUAUAAUUAGAGUGCAUGUAUGAUCGGAAAAUUUGUUAAUAGUUGUGCUCUAAUAUUCUUAUUGACCUUGCAAUUUACCAAUGCAAUGGAGGCAUGUGAGGUCUUAGUUUCUGCAAAUUGAAAGAUGAUUGACAACAAGAAAGAAAUGGACAACAGCAUUUGAGAGAAAUGGACAACAGCAUUUGAGAGGCCCCAAUACAGCUAAUGUCUUAAUUGUGUGGUUAAAAAGAUGACCAAGAAUAUGUUGAACAAAGUUCAUAUAAAAUAAAAGACUAAAAGAAACAGCAAAACUUAAUCCAUGCAUCCGCCCCCACGACUAGUCCGAGUGGUUUUUUAGUCUAUUAGGUAUCAGUAGGUCCUGUGAUCGACUCCUGUGUGUAAUCUCGUUAUGUAUUUUUGGGACAAAAUUUUACACAAUUUUAGAAAUUAGUUGAUCAAAGGGUUGGGAUACCCCUAAGUGGAAAAUAUAUAUAUAUAUAUAUAUGCAUCCCCAUUCAUCAUUACUUUCUAAAGUGAUUAUAGAGCAAAUAAAAUUCAUGUUUAAAAUAUUUCUCAUGUUUCAGCACAUAUCACUAUUAAAGUGUACGGUCGUGUACAAAACCACUUGCUGUCAUCUUCAAAAUGAUGCCACCAUAUUUGCAACUUAUUUGCUGUGUCAUCUUAAAGUGUAUUUCUUUUGUUCAAUAUUUGCAAGUUUGCAUUUAAUCUUACUUAAAUCAAAAAAAUUAAAGUCCAUCAGAAGACAUAAUCAGAGGUACAAACAAUCAUAUCUAGCUCAAACAUUAGUCAAUGCUGAAAGUAAGAUACCAAAAAUACUAGCUGUUUAUUGCCAUCCAAAAUGGAGAAUACAAGGGGGACAAAAGAAAGAAAAAAAACGUACUUAAAAUUAAGCAUCAGAAAAAAAAAAAAAUUGGAGAAGGGUGAACAAGAAGAAGAAAUGCAAUCUAAGUGGGAACAAGAAUCCAUUUGCACAUUAUGUAAGAAUCCAUUUGCAAAAUAAAUAUAAAGAUUAAAGCCUUAAAGUUUAUCAAAAUGAUUGAAGUGAAAGGUGGGAAGCACUAUCAUUGUCUAUUACUAAGCACACGCACAAGAUUUCAAGUCCUUCCGUUUUCAAAUGUACACAAAAGCAGAACUAUAAAAUACAUAAAAGAAAAUACUAAUUCAAAAAUAAAAAGUUAUAUACAAGAACAAUGUCUAGAUAUCAUUGCUAAAUCCUAGGAUAUUGCCAUAUGUGGUUUUUUUUUCUUUAGCUGCAAAUUGGUUUCAUAGAUCACUAUGUGAAUAAUUAUUGUCAUCAAGUUGUUCUUCAUGCAUAGUAGCAAAGCAAGUCUUGAUAAAUGAUUGCUCAGUGGCAUGUUUCUCAUUUCCCACCUUUUGAUGUUGGAUGUUAACUUCAUCAUCAAUCAGCAAUUCCUGCACUCUUGUUCACCAUGGGGAUAUACAGAUCUACUGACAUAUAUCACCUGAGAUAAAUCUAUCAAGGCUGGUUGUCUAGAUUGUUAAAAAAAAAAUUUUUGCAUUAUGCCAACAACUUGUGGUAAAAACCAUCAUCACCAAUAAUAGCACACCUGAGAACUAUGAACUUUUCACCUUGAAAAGACUUAACAUCAUUGAAGUGAUACUCAUAAUAAUAAAAAAAAAGUAAUAUUUAUAAUAAGCAUACAUAAAAGAUAUCCAUGGUUAAUGAAUUAAAUAAAAUAAGGAUAUAAAAAAAUAGCGAAAUCAAAUUCACACCCCUACAGUCUAAUACCACACAUUGCAUAAGUCUACAUUACAUGGCACACAUCAAUAAUAUAAGUUAACGGGUGCUAAUUUAGAAUAUAGGCGAGUACACGUGUGAUCUAGCUCGAAUUGUUCCCAAAAAAAAAAAACAGAGAGAGACCAAAAUAGAGGAAAAAAGAGAGAGAGAGAGAGAGAGAAAGGUUAACCUAGUAGAAUGUAGGUGAGUACGGGUGUAAAUUAGCCUGAGUCAUACCCAACCCAAAAAAUGAAAAGAUGACCAAAGAGAGGAAAAAGAAGAAAAAAAAAUUGAGAGAGAGAGAGAGAGAGAGAGAGGAGGGGGGUUAGCCUAGUAGCAAGUCAUCAACUAAACCAUACUGAGUACCAAGAGGUGUUGGAAUACUUCAUCAAAAGAAAAAGGUGGGGAACCCACCAUGAAGGCUAAGGCCAACAUCUCAGAGCCUUUAAGACUCAAAGAAGAUCCUCGUUUCUGGCCCUCUUCUGUUUAUAAAUGUGUUGUCCAGUUUCAAUUCGGAAGCCAAAGUUAAGAGCAACUUCUUAACUUCUUCCUUCUUCACCAGUCACCACCACCACCAUACUAUAACAAAAAAACAGUACUUCAACUCGGCCAUGCCACUUAAUUCUGUAGCACCAAAACCAGAAAAUCCCAGCAUUCAACUGAUGGGAGGCCUGCCAAUAUCAUCAGAGUCCUGUGACAAUCCUUAUCUGGCUUACCCUAUACAGGCCAGAACACAGUCCUUUCUGCAAAUGACCUUAAACCCCAUAACUCUAAAGGUCUUAUUUUCACACCUUUUUCUUUUGGACAUUUCAUACAUGCAAGCACAUGCAUUUCCCCAGUCGGAAAAUAGUUCAAGGCAUAUAGUUUUAUUUGUGACAUAGCCCUCAAGGCAUGAAGCUCGUUCACAGAGGAUUACUCAUAAAUAAGAAUUUGAAAUUACUUCUUUUUUUUUCCAUUAAGCAGUAAUUUGAAUGUUCUGCUUAUUUGUCUUACUUAUUAUGCAGUUUGAAGAGAUUGUCUACAAGAUCAGAAUUGAAACGAAAGGAAUGUGUUGUGGCCAAACAUUGAGCAGCAAAGAGAAGAUAAUACUGAACGGGCUAACAGGUAUGGUUUGUCCAGGGGAGAUACUGGCCAUGUUAGGUCCAUCAGGCAGUGGAAAAACAACCCUCCUAACAGCCCUUGGGGGCCGCCUCACCAGCAAGUUAUCAGGAAAGAUCACAUACAACACCCAGCCUAUAUCAGGUCAUAUCAGACGUCAAACCGGGUUCGUUGCCCAGGAUGAUGUCCUGUAUCCCCAUCUAACUGUGUUUGAAACUCUCCUGUUCACUGCACUACUGAGGCUGCCAAAAACCCUUACCAAGGAAGAGAAAGUCCAGCAUGUGGAGCAAGUUAUUGCAGAAUUGGGAUUGAGCAGGUGCCGCAACAGCAUGAUAGGAGGACCUCUAUUUCGAGGAAUAUCAGGUGGAGAGAAAAAGAGGGUCAGCAUUGGCCAAGAAAUGCUAAUCAAUCCAAGCCUACUGCUGCUAGAUGAGCCCACCUCGGGGUUGGACUCGACCACAGCCAUGCGCAUUUUGACCACGAUCAAGCGUCUUGCUAGUGCUGGUCGGACGGUGGUAACCACAAUCCAUCAGCCUUCCAGCCGGCUCUAUCAUAUGUUUGAUAAGCUGGUCUUGUUGUCGGAGGGCAGCCCAAUCUACUAUGGUCCUGCAUCAACUGCCCUGGAAUACUUCUCUUCAAUUGGCUUUUCCACAACACUCACCGUCAAUCCUGCAGAUUUCUUGCUUGACCUUGCGAAUGGUAAUCAGAUAAUCAAUAAGACCAACUCUUUUUCUGUCCUUUAUCAGUCAAAGAACUUCGGACAGCUUGAGUUUUCAAAAAACCUGCUAUCCAAAUGAAAUUCAAGAAUCAACUCUAAGAAUAGGCUCUAGAUAUUUGCAUGUAACAUAUACUUUUUAUGCUGCGAAGUUUAAAGCUGAAUCAAGUUUCGAUAGACCGAGCAACAAAAGUGAAAAAAAAAUCUAUAUAUUCAUCAGAAUCCUGACCAGUUACCAUUAAAACUUUUCAGGAAUUGGGCCUGACGCCAAGCAUGCAAUUGAGCUAGGUGAAAGUGCUGAGAAGGAACAAAAAUUAGUGAGAGAAGCUCUGAUAUCCGCUUAUGACAAAAACAUUGCUACAAGGUUGAAAGCUGAGCUAUGCAGUUUAGACAUCAAUAAUUAUGCUUACGCAAAGGAUUCUUCCACUAGUGAGUUCAAUAGCCUUCCUCUCAAAUAAGUUAUCUUUCUCAAUCACAUAGAAUUAUUAGACUUCAGAUAGUUCUCACUUCUCUCAUUUCAAAUUCUGUCUAAUUUACAGUUGUUUUCUGGUGUUCAAUCAAAUGCAGAACGUGAUGCAAAGUCAGAGCAAUGGUGCACGAGCUGGUUUUAUCAGUUCAACGUGCUGCUACUGCGGGGGCUUAGGGAGCGGAGGUAUGAAACCUUCAACAGACUAAGAAUUUUCCAAGUCAUCAGUGUUGCAAUACUUGGCGGACUUCUCUGGUGGCAUACCCCAAUGUCCCACAUUGAAGAUCAAGUAAGAAUGGAUCCACUUACUCACAUUAUUUGCAUAAACAAUCAUAGUGGCAGCUGUCACUUUCUUUUGAAGGCCAUGAUAAUUAUGAGGCUGUUCUGGUUGCUUUAGAUUUUACUAAAAGUUGUUUAAUCAGAAUCACCAAAGCCUACUCUUGCAUAGGUUCUAGAUAAAUCUAAAAAUUUAGGUUGUUUUCUUGUUAGAAACUCUAAAAUUUUAGUUUUUUAGCUUGUUAGAAAAUCUAAAAUCUAGACAUAAAAGCAAAUGAGAACAGCUAAAAAAAACUAAUUUUUCAGAUCAGAAUCUAAAAUCAGGUGAAAGAAUCAAACGAGAACGUCCGCUAUAUCAAGAAUGCAUCUUGAUGUUGAAUAGACCAAGUCAUUGGAAGACCAUUAGAGGGCGCCCACAUCUGAUAAUGCGCAUGAUCUACAGAAAAUCGCCGAGAGUACAGUUAUUAUCAUUUUACCUUGAGAGUUCUUUGGAAGCCUCUAUAUUCAAUGAAGACAUAAGAUAUGCUUCUUCAAAUAAAACAGCUACUUCUAAGAGAUACUAACCUAAGUUCAUUUCCUAUAUGCAGAUUGCUAUGUUAUUCUUCUUCUCUGUUUUCUGGGGCUUUUACCCAAUCUACAAUGCUGUUUUCACUUUUCCCCAAGAAAGAAGGAUGCUUAUCAAGGAAAGAUCAUCUGGAAUGUACCAUCUGUCCUCCUACUUUCUAGCUAAAACAGUGGGCGAUCUUCCACUAGAGCUUGCUCUGCCAACUGCCUUUACCUUCAUAAUUUAUUGGAUGGGUGGGCUCAAACCAGAACCAGCCACCUUCAUCCUUUCCCUUCUCAUUGUUCUGUACAGUGUCCUUGUUUCGCAAAGUCUAGGAUUGGCCUUUGGUGCAAUACUUAUGGACGUAAAGCAAGCUACUACCUUAGCAUCAGUAACAACGCUAGUUUUCCUCAUUGCUGGUGGUUACUAUAUUCAACAAAUCCCUGCUUUCAUAGUCUGGUUAAAGUACUUGAGUUACAGCUACUACUGUUUCAAGCUGCUUCUUGGAGUGCAAUACAAUGGGAAUGAUUAUUAUGAGUGCUCCAAGGGAGUAUAUUGCCGGGUUGCAGAUUUCCCUUAUGUCAAAUCAGUAGGUCUAAACCAUUUGUGGAUUGACGUGUCCAUCAUGGCACUCAUGAUGGUGGGCUAUCGGUUCAUUGCUUAUCUAGCAUUGCGCAGGGUCAGAUGAAGAAGGUUCAAUUCAGGAGCAUGAUCACCAAGGCCUGUUGAAGAGUUUUCCAUUUCUUCAACUGAGCAAUAAUCUUAGGUUUAGAUGAGAAUGCCACUGUCAGAUUAUGAUCACAAGUACCUGGAUAGUUGGAUGUAUCACAUUCUGGCAAUGGUUUGCAAAAAACUGACUUACAAAAGUGAUCAAGAUUUGCACAAUAAAUGUGUAACACUCUUAAUAGUAAGACCCAGUCUUAUAGAAGGAGAAUGAUUUUCCCAGUGUCAAAAAAGAGGGCAUGUUAAGGCAACUCAAAGUCCACUGUAUUCCAGAUCCAUGUGGGGGCAUUACAAUCGCCACUUUAUGGUAGUAACUCCUACAGAUGCAUUGACCACAAAAAGAAGGCACUCUUUUAAAGAAUAAGCAAAUUUAAGUACAUAGAGUAAUUAUAUUGGACAAACGUUUUAUGUCUGGAAGUGCACCAUAACAUUGCUUUUAUCUAUCUUCUUUGUUCAGUCUCUCUGUUGUCUAAUCCUAAGUUUAUAGUAGGGACAGAAAGUGGGACUAAGAACACUUUUGGCUUCUAAUCAAGGUCAUGGUCUGAAGGGCCACGAAGACCUCUUUAUCUUUAAGGAGACGUUUGAACAUAUUUUGUUGCUACAUCUUUAAAUCUUUAUACAGUUCCAGGACAUGUCAUACAUGUUUACUGUAUGGACAGGAGGAGGGAUUCAACAUAAGCUUUUUUCAAUGGCAUGGAGAUUUUGACGGAAACCAGAAAUUCUGUGAAUAUUUUUGCAAAAAGAAGUCAAACCCUUGAAUCUUGAUGUAAAACAGAAGUCAAAAAAAUGGAGAGAUAACUACAGAAUUGAAAAUAUAAUUUUCCGAAAAAAUUCUCAAUCAACAAUCAGCUGAUUAUGCAGGACAAAAGGUGGUCAAAAACGAUUUGAUGUGGUUGACAAACUUCAAUCUCAAGAAUAAUAGAUCUCAAUUUUCCUGUUUAUCACAUGGACUGGACAAUAAAAACAAACAAGAAAGGAGGAGCACAGAGAAUCAAGCAACAGAACACUAUACCGGAGAAGGCUAGCAAUUCUAACCUCAAUUCCAGAAGCCAUAUUUCUUCGUGGUGAUGAGAGAAAUUCUUGAACUGCAUGAUAUCGAAAGGAGGUCAAGUUCCACAUGAUGCUGAUACAGUAGCGGCUGCAACAUUAUGCAAACAAGAAGUGACCCCCAAAAUCCUUGUCAUUUUUACGUCAACGUAGUACCCCAUGCACCGCUCCCUAUAAGGUUCUAGAUUAACAAUAAAGGCCUGAAAUCCAUAGAAUCCUGCUCAUCUCUCGGAUAGAUUAAUGGUUGCAGAUAUCCAUUGAUGGCUAAUGAAGCAGAUCUUGCGUUAGCUGUUAAUUAGAAGGUUGGUAGAAAGGAGAAAUGGAAGAAAUAAACACAGAUACAAGCUGAAGUGGAUUCAAUUCUUCGAGACGGGCCACGAAAGGCCAAGUUGAGAGGGAAUUGUGAUCAGUACAUGAUGAACACCCGGCGACACCUAUGCUGAAUGAGUACAUGACUCCAAUACAGGUCAACAAAAUUGCAAUGAAUCUGCUGAUUUCAUGAUGAUUCUAAGGCAACUGGAGAUCACUGCUGACAGAAGUCAAGACAACUGGCUACCGAAAAUUUGAUAUUUCUUUAAUAUGCAAUGUCUCGUGAAUCUACCUCUCCCAGUCAGGCUUGAAGCCGCAGAACAAUCCAGAAUUUUUAGCGAAAUAACCAUUCCAUUUCAAAUUUUUCAUACUGAGCAAAGCUUGAGACUUAAAUUAACUAAUGCAAGAAGCUAACCUCAUGUAGAUCAAAGUACAAUUGACAAGAAGCAAAUAAGCAAACCCAUAGAGCAUGGUUCACUGUUGCGGAUCACGGUCGUGGAUGUUCCACAUCCGUCGCAGCAUAUUGAUUGAACAUCGGGUGAUACAUACAUUAUAAUAAAUAAAAUUUUCCAAAAAAUCUGAAAAAAUUACUAAAAAUAGAGAAUACCAUAAAAGGCACAAUUACCAAAUUAAAUUUACUAAAUACCUACAUGAUCAUAAAUAGUUACUAAUUAUUUAAAUAAAAUAAUGCUGCCAUUACCAUAAACCUAUAGCAUUAGCAAUAAAUGAUUUUAGCAUCAAGUGUGCUUUCUAAUCCUAUUUUAUAUGAGAUCAAAAAUUAUAUAUAAAAAUAAAAUCAUCAUAUCUUACAUAAUACAAUACGAAUCCCAGUACACAAAGGAAGUAGUGGUGUUUAGUUCAAUACAAUAAAAGAAACAAAUACCUAUUAAAUAAUAUUAUGAAAUAUAAAGACAUAAAGAAGCAAGUGUUUUCACCAUAUUCUCAAUACACAUUUUCAUCCUAUAUUGAUCCCAAUUUCCUAAAAUAAAAAAUAAUAAAUAUCACUGAAAUAUUAAAAUUAAUGAAUUAUGUACAACUAUUGAAUUCUAUCAAAUAUAGUAAAAUUAUAUUUUUACUUUGUUUACAUACCUAUUAAUACCAUGUGGAAUGACGAGGAGGUUCAAAAUCAUGCUCAUCUCCCAACCGAUUAUAGUAAGAAUAUAACAUUUGUAGUUAGUUUCCUUCAUGUGAAUAAGGAGAAAUGUAUGAACCAUAUUGUUCGUCUCUUAAAUUUGAUGACGUACUAGAUAAACCAUGAUUAAAAUGUGACAAAGGUGGUAGAUUUGAUCUUAAUGAACCCUCGAUAGUGUAAACUAUCAGUGGUGCUAUUAGAUGAACCAUAAUUGUGUUCAUAAUAGCCAAUGCUACUUGAUUCAGAUGUAGAUCCCUCAUGAUAUAUUCUAGUUGGCUGAUGAUAAUAUUCAUUAGUAGAAACACUAGUGGACCUCUGAAGAUGGCUAGCUCCACUAUAUGAUCCGUAUUCAGAGUAAUAACAAGUAGAACCUGCAUGUAAUCGCUCAAACUCAUGUCCUAGCCACCUAGUACCCAAACUAUUACCAGAAUUAUAGACUCCAUAUGAAUGACCUAUAUUUAAAUCUUGCAUGAGCUUAUGAAAUUCAGAAUAUCUCCUAGAAUUUGAGUAGUAAAAAGAGUCACCUUCACUCAAAAAUUCAAUUAUUCUGCUCAAAUGCUGCUACUGUGCUUUUAUGCCACGAUGAUAUCCAUGAUCAGUGUCUUGAGUAGCAUACUAGUUAUUAUCUGUUUGAACCCAUGACAUGCCACCAGUACAUUAGCUAUUAUGAUAGUUACCACCACUACCACUAAAAUUUUUUGUUAAGAAUGUCUCGUGUUUGCCCCUCCAUUAUCAUCAUCAUCUUUUCCACCGCUAGAGGUGUUGGUAGAGAAAGAUGAAAUGGGUUUUGAUAUAAUUUUUUUCUAUCUAGUACUCUUGUCUUUGCUCAUAAAUACUUGCUCUUUAUGUUUCUUUUUCAUACCAAUUAUGAAUUGAGACAAAAGCAUAUCAUUAUCAUCAUCAUUAUGAUGACUUUGUUCUCUCCCUCCCUUCACUUUCAUUGAUGUAUUUAUUCAACCAACUUAAAUCAUCUUCACAAAUCAAUCGCGGCUCAUUUUCUCAAAUCCACUCAUCUAAUAUAUCAUUUUCAUCAAAAAUGUGAUUUAAAUAAAUUGGGUUAUAAAAAUCAUCGGUGUCAUUUUUAUACAUCAAAUUCUUCAUUCUGAGCCACAUGUUGUAGCGCACAAAUACCAACUUGUUCAACAUUUCAAUUGGCAAUUGAUUUCAAAGUUUUGUAUGUAUCAAAGACCACGUACUCCAAAUUCUUUCAUAACCAGAUGAUGUACAAGUUUGACUCAGAACUUUAAUUACAAUUUUUCUUAAAUUAGGAACUUCUUCACCAUAUAUGUUCCACCAUAUAGCUAUUAAAAACAUAGAAUGCAAAAAAAUAGUAAAUAUGAUGCAUAUAUAACAAGUAUCCUUAAACUGAUAUAAUAAUGCAUAAUAUAAUUUAAAGGACAAAAUCAUAUUUAUUAACCUGAUAAAGAUGUAGCUACUGCUUUAAUUGCAAGUGCACUUCCAAACUCUCCAAUGUUGUUCACAAAUGUGUUUGUCUAAGGAUACCACAAAGUUAGAAUAUUAGAAAUUUAAAAAAACACAUAAAGUAAUGCAGAUUAAUAAAUAAUGGCUAUUAUUUUACCUUAUUCAUUGCUUUUGCUUGCAUUUCUAAAUUUAGUUCAAACCUUUUAAUUACUUCUUUCAAUCCUUUUCUAAUUUCAGAUGUAUUAAAUUCACAAGUGCCAGAAUAUUGAAGAACGAGAUUUAAGAAAUAGGCUGGACCAAUGACAUAAAAAAUAAUCAAGUGGGAAAAUCUUUAGCACAAAAUAAUUUGUUUAAAAAAAUAUUUAUUUAUAAGUGUCAAACAUAAUGACCUGUUGCAUGCAAGUCUUGUGUAAAUGCUUAUACCAUCUGUCAUCAAUAAUAUCACAGUAUUUUUGAAAGUCUUUCACUGCAAUUUAUAUUGUCAUUUUAGCCUUAUCCAUUUUCUCAUAUAUAAUGGGUAGUGUGGGUUUUUUAUCCUAAUCGAUCACUUUUAAAACUUUCACUAGCGGCUCCAUGAUUGCACAUACCCACCAUACCUUUUUCCAAAAUCUUUCUAACAAAAUCAAGUCAAACACUUCAGCAUCUUCUUCCCUUCUUUUAGAACUGCUAUUAUACUCUUACCACUCAUUUGAAGUACACAUUCGUUUCAACUCGGUAGCAUGAUGAAGAAGACUUUCUAUUGCAAUGAUCUCGGUAGCAAAUCUUGUUAUGUCAGGUUACAAUAACUCUCUAUUAUUUGUAUAUGUCUUCAUUAGAUUUACCAUUUUGUCACUAUUGUAUAUAAAACUGGUAAUUCUCCUACCUUGUUUGAUGGCAUCUUUUAUUGACUUCAUCUGAUCAAUGUCUUCCAAAAUCAAAUCAAUGCAAUGCGUAGCACAUGGUGACCAGAACAAAUGCUUCCUUUUCUUCAUCAAUUGCUCCCCAGUUGCUUUCAUACUAGAUUCGCUAUCAGUGACAAGUUGUACAAUAUUUUCUUCUUCAAUGGAAUCCACAACCUUAUCCACUAAGGAUAAAACUGGUAAUUCUUCUACCUUGUUUGAUGGCAUCUUUUAUUGACUUCAUCUGACCAAUGUCUUCCAAAAUCAAAUCAAUGCAAUGCGCAGCACAUGGUGAUCAGAACAAAUGCUUCCUUUUUUAUUAGUUGCUCCCCAACUGCUUUCAUACUAGAUUCGCGAUCAGUGACAAGUUGUACAAUAUUUUCUUCUUCAAUGGAAUCCACAACCUUAUCCAUUAAGGAUAAGACAAAAUUUGCAGCCUCUACCUUGUUUGUACUGUCGACAAAGUUGUGGUAUAUUAUGUCUCUAUCAUAGUACACCAUGAAAUUAAUGAUUGGAUGCUUUGUCCGAGUACUCUAGCCAUCACACAUGAUUGUGCACCCAUAUGUUUUCCAUUUGUGUUUAAUGGAACUAAUUGUCGGUCAACGUCUGCCAUCUCCUUAUUUAGAUAUUCACCUCCAAUUUGUCUACCUGUUGGCCCUUUAAAUCCAAGUCCAGCACUAUCAAUUGUGUCAAUCAUCGAUUGAUAAUAAGUUCCACAAUCAGCCACAUGAAAUGGUAUGGCAUUAAAAUGAAAAAAUUUUGCAAUUGCCUUACCAACUUUUUUGUCAUUUUCUUUGGAAAAUUAAUCUUUUAUUGACUUAUUUUUUAAGGGAAACAUGUAUGGAUCAAUUCCUUUGACCCCAAACCUCCUGCCUUAAACUUAAAACUCUGUGAGAAAGCUCUUUUACUUCUAGAGAACAAUAGAUUAGGUAUAUUCGAACUACUACUCCCUACAAUAUAGUACAUAAAAGAUUGUAAUAUUUUUUUAUUAAAUAAGUCUUGUACUCUAAAAAUGAUAUAUUAAUUUUUAGAUAUUUCUACAUACAUACCAGACGUAAAAUUCAUAGUUGGCUAACUUCCAGAUACAUAAUGCCUAGGUUGCUCUUCCAUAAAUCUCAUGUAUCUACUUUCAUCCAUAGCUCACUUGUAUUGCUUUCUUUCUAAAGCUUCCAUUUCAUCUUCCUUAAGUUUGAAGAUAUCAUCCUCGUUUUCACCUAGCAGAUUGAUGGAAUGGAGUAAUGAUUGUUUUUUCUUUUGUAUUUCAACUAUUGCACUCUUACCUUAAAUCAAGUGUUUCUUUAAAAGCUCUCUUAUUUCUUUUGGAGCUACAGGACAUGUUUUUACUUGUCGUGCUACAUGGCUAAUAUGUUGUUUCAUCCUUAUAAUUCCUCAGUGUACAAUUUUACCACAAUAAUUGCACUUUGUAACCUUUCUGGUAAUGACCAGUUGGAGUAACAUGAUCCCCACCAAUGCCUUGAUUUGAACCCAUUUUACAAUGUCCUUAAAUUAGUUAAAUAAUUGUAGGUGUGAUGUUAAACAUGCAAAUAUGUGUUAUUCAGAUAAGAAUAAAAUUAUUAAAUUUUAUUAUCUAAAUAUAUUAAAAAUUUUCCGAUCAAGUUUAAUUAUACAAGAUAAUCUAUACUUUCACAAUUUGCCCACUUCAAUUUUUUUGUUUAACUAAGUGGAACUUGUAAGUAAACUUUUUUUUUCCUUUUUCUAAUUAAUUUACCUAAAAUCAUUUUAACCAAUAUAAUUGAGAUAUAUGAAAUAAAUAAAUUACAUUAUUGAUCAUUAAAAUGUAUCCAAACAAUAACUAUAUAUUUUCUAACUAAAACUUAGAUAAGAAACUACUGAUAUUAUAUAAUAUAUUAAAUAUAAAAUUAGCAAUGUAAUAAAAAACAUCAUAUACUUAAUAAUGUAUAAAAAUGCCAAAAUGCAUUGCAUAAAUUUACAAAUAUUGAAAUAUCACAUCUGAAUACUAAAUCCAGAAAAAUUAAAAUUGAGAAACUACUUUGAAAGAAGAUGUGGACCUUUUGGCCUGAUGUUUGAGUUUAAGAUUAGGAGUCCAAUCUCCUAAUUACUUAGGCCAAAUUUGGACUUUAAGAGUUUUUAAUUUUUGCUUCUUUUUUUUCCUGUCUUUGGCUCCACUAGAAAAGCCCAACUACUCCAAUUUUAGCUGAGUUCCACGUACUCCAAAUUUAGUCGUUGCUUUGGUUCUUUCUUCUCCCUUUUGCUCUUUCUUCUCUUCUCUGUAGACCAAUUGUCGAGCCCUAUUUCUAAAAAAAAUGAAUUAAUGAUUAAAAAAUGAAUUUUUAUUUUAAAGAACAUUGGCGUAUAAAAAUGUAAUUUUUAUUAAAAGAUGAGUAAAAAAUGAGUUUUAGUUCUUGAUUAGUUUUUAUUUUAGUUUUAAAUUUUGUAAAAAUAAAAAGAAAGAAAAAGAGCCUAAAAUGGGACUUAAAAAGUGCGACAGUUUUGGCUCAAAAUAAUAGUCUAAAAAGGGUUUCUAAGAAAAAUAGGAGUGGUCACUUGGUAUUGAGUUAAGGUGUACCAAAUCACCCAAAAUAUGUUUUUAAGAUAAAAGAUAAAAAAAAAUAAACCCUUUUUAAAUGACUCCAGAUUUUUGAAAAGAAGAGAAAAGAGUUCGGGAGUCACAGUUGAAAAAAUGGAAGGCAAAGAUUUGAUAGAAUCAAACCUAAGGCACCCUGUCAACCUAGCCAAAGUUAGUUGCGAGAUUUAGUCGAAAAUUUUUCGAGCCUUACCUAUGAAAACUUAUCACAUUAGAAUGUUUCUAUAUGGAUGCAAACCUAGACCUAGGGGGGUAUCGAGAGGGUCGAGCUGUCUCUUCAAAAUUUAAAUGGUGCAAUCACAUUAAUUGUGAUGCCCAAAAUGAUUUUUAGAAAAGGUUACGAAUAUGCAAAAGAUAAGAAUAGAAGAAAAGAAGAAUUAUAAUAUAUAAAUAUACAUGACCUAAAAGAGAGGAAUGCAACAUAACGGGUAUGAGGGAUCUAAAUUCGUGACUCAAUUUUCCUUUCUCUAGAGGAGAUACAAACGUGUUAAGCCUUAGAAACUAUACUCGUCCAUUUCCCAUAUUUGAAGAGUGACUCUCCUAACUAGUCAAGCAAAUGAACUAACCUAUUUCUCAUUUCCUAUUGGAAUGCAAGUCUAAAUGUCAUGUUUCACACACAUAGGGGUAAGUGAGAUAAGGAAAUUUCAUGCCAAUGAAGAAAAGGAUCCUAAAGGUGAAAAGUAUGCAUGAAAUGCAAUAAAUGUCAAACAAAGUAUGAAUUCUAACGCGAAAACGGCCUAAAAGGUCUAGCAUUGUACUAACUCAUUUCUAUAAGUCCUCACUAGCGUUGAACUAGUGAGAAAUCGGGGAGCAAACCACAACUAACAUUGGACUAGUGUGAUGACGUCAUGCAUUUAUUAUAACUAAAUAAAUCAUAUAAAACAUAAUUAAAACAAGUAAACACAUAAUGCACAUAGAAUGCAUAACAAAUAGGCAUAAUUUCUAGAUGCAAAACCCUAGUGAAAGCGAAUAAACAUGUAAACACACAAGCAUGCAAGCACACAAGCAAAUAAAUGCAAAUAAAAGCUUAACUAUAACAUUCGAGACCCUAACUACAAUCUAAGAGGAAAUUUUUUUUUAAAAAAAAAAUAACCUAACUAUUACAUUUAUCUAACUAAAUACAUUUUUGACAAAAAUUAAAACCUAUCUAUUACAUAUGCUAACUAAAUACAUGUCUUGAGUAUCUAUCUAUUACAAAUUGACAUUUAAAUGCCCUCAAAUAAUCAUCAAAAAUUAAAUAUAAUAAAUAAAAAUUUAAGAUGAAUAAAAUUCAUAAAUAAAAGAAAAAGCACUCAAAACAUGCAAUCACAUAUAAAAAGCACAUAAGAGCACAUAAAGGAAUUUAAAAUAAUACUAGAAGGUAUCUCCCUUUGAAGUAUUGGUUAAAUGAAGUUGGAUUUGCCCUAUUAUACUCCAAGAUCAACAAAAUGGUCAAAACAUCAAUUUAAUUAACAAAUAAAUUAUAAAGCAACGGAAAUAACCAUGAAAUCUAGCAAUUAAAACAUUUAAAUAAAGUAUAAUUAACAAUUAAAGAAGAUAAACAACUUACAUUUAAGAAAUCAAAACUGUCAGAGACCUAAUUGCAAAAUUGAGAACGUUUUUGGGAUCAAAUAAUAAUUAUUACAAAAAAGGGGUCAAAUCAAAGAAAAAUAAAGUUUAGGAACCAAAUUACAAUUAAAUUAGGGACCUAAUUGAAAGAAAUAAAAAAAAUUUAGGGCCAUAAUAUAAUUACUUAGAAGUAUAGGGACCAAGUUGCAAUUUUCAUUUUCUGGUUUGGCCAGAAAGGGCCUUGGGCAUCCUUCAAAUUUUUCUUUGGGCCAAAGUUACCUAGGCUUAAUGAAAAGUCCAGAAAAAUGGGUGGACUAGCCUGUCAUUUUUACUAAACUAAGUCUGGUGAAAAAAGGUUGGGCUUAAACCCCAAGUUCGGUCAUAAACCCAAGCAAAAAGGAAAAUCUUGGCCCAAAUUUUUUUAACCCAAAACAUGUUUUAUCAACCCAUCAUGGCCCAUAUCAGAUCAAAUGAAGUAAAACAAACAAGAUAAAAUUGGAGGAAAAUAGAAAGAAAAUAAGUGAAAAGCAUUCUGGCGGGUCUGAAAACAUUCGCCGGAAUCCAUUUUUACCGGCUUUUAAAGCCGAAUAUUGAUAUAAACAUACUCCCCAUGAUCUCUUGAGUUAGUUAAAACAUCAAACAUCACCAUUUAAACAACAAAAUUGUGAGAAAAAAGAGAUCUAAGAUGCAAAACCCGUAAAACUCAUGUAAUAGCUUAAAAAACACAUGAAAAACGUUAGAACAACCAAGAAAAAGGGUUAUAAUUACCUGAGGAAGUUAGGGAACUUGAAUAGAUGCGAGAAAUCACAGUGAAGCGUGCCCUGAUUCCGAAAGUGAAGCAAAACACUUCUUGUCGUAGAAGUUUAAGAGUUGAGAAACUGGCAACUUCAGGCUCGAAUUCGAAGGUUCUGGAAGUGUUUUUUCAGGAAACUUUCAACAUGAAAACUCCCCUACUACGUCCAUGAAGUAUCCAGAAAUCAAGAAUCGAUCUCAAAGAAGUCAAGACGAAGAAGAAAAUGGCGUCUGAACAGGGCUGCCCGUUCAUUCCUAACUCAAUUUUUUCUGAAAAUUCCCUGCUACUUUUUCUUCUUUUUCCUUCUCUGUUUUCCUUCCUUUUCUAUUUUUCGGCCGCCUCCAACUCUUUUUUCUACCCUAAUGGCCGCAUUUCUAUGCAUUUAUAUGGAACAAAAACCCUCCCCCCAAACCCUAUGAGCAAUGGUGGAGAUUGGUUGGCUUUUUGGGGAUGAUUUGGAGCAAUUAGAUGGCUGAUUUUGGAUAAGAAUUGGAAGAUGAUUUGACCCUUGUACUGGGGGGCUCAAAAGGAAAGAAAAAAUGAGUGGAAUUAGGAUCAAAUGGCCGCUGCAAUUCUCUGGUACUAUGGCCUCGUUGCUAGUUUUGUACCAGUUUUCAUGAAGGAAAAUUUUUUUUUUUAUAAAAACUGAUUUUAAUUUUUGUUUUCUGCUUUUUUGUUUUCUUUUAUUUCUAAUUUUCUAAAAAUAAAUUGAAAUUAUUUUCUUCAGAAAUAGAAAUGAAACAAAAUAAACUAAAAUAAAUAAAAUUUAAACAAAAUGAACUAAAAAUGAACAAAAAAUAGGAAUAAAAUGAAGAAAAAUAAAAUGGUAACAUUUUGGCGUUUACAACUUGCCUCUCUUUAUCUGAGUUUCGCAAAAAAUCGAGAUAAAGACGUAGACACUGUGACGACCCCACUUCUCCUUAGGGUGUGAGCCGCCUACCUAGCUUUCGUCAGGGCUCAAUACGAGUCAAAUUUAAAGUUAAAGGUAAUCAACCACUAAUAAAAGUUAAUAUAAAGAAAAGUCGCUUCCUUAUAUAAUCAUUUGAGUCUUAUAUCACAAAGUUUCCAAAAGGUACAUCAAAUUUCCCCAAAAAUACAACCACCAUAAGUCGACUAAUCAAUUACAUUCAUAAUUGUACCAAAAUAAAGUCAAGACAGCUUCUCCAAAAAUCUUUCCAUUCCGAGCCCCUGUUAAGGAAAACAAACUACGGGGGUGAGUUAACAUUUAGUGAGGCCAAGAAAAGCAUGCAAACACAUAAGUUCAAGUAACAAUAACACUGGUACAAGAAAUAUAGUUAGAAAGUUCAUGUAAUUCACAAAUAACAGUAAAACACAAUCAAUAAGGAUACGGGAGCUCUCAGGAGCUAAAUUCCCCUUUGCUUUGCCAAGGCUUGAUCCAAUACCUCCACGUGAUGACACUCCGUCAACCGAGUAGGUAGCAAGUCCGUAGAAACCCCGCUUACUUCCUCCAUCCCUCAUUUCACCCCCUUGGAUCCGUAACCAAACACUCACUGGAAGGGCGAUACUACUCGAGUAUGGCAAGCAAGAUCUCAAAAGAUCAAACUUAUAAUUUUCUCAUGGUUCACCGGGCUUCUCGACCAAGCCCAUACUGGCUCAAGUCGCAAGGUUAGCCAAUGAGUUUUGGGCGUCCCCAAAUGUACAAAUACAAUUUGCCAAGUUCACGUAAUUCAAUUAUCAAGUCACAUUCACACAAGUCAAUUAUCUAGUCAAGUAAAAGAGAACGAGUGCGAUAAAGUACACACUCGUCUUGACAAGUCCAAAUCACUUAAUUAACAAGAAACAAUUCAAGUAUUUAGCAACAAUUCAUGCACUUGACACUCACCAAAUCAAAAGUAAGUGAGCCAAUAAGGCCUUUAGUUGUCUGCACUGAGAUUCCCUUCGAAACUCUCUUGAGCACCUGAAGAAAAAGUGACCAACCAUCACUCACGUAUACUUUAGACCUCUUAACAUUCAAGAAAGAAAAUGCACUUGCUUAAAAUUAAGACAACGCCUUAAAAGAGCUUUUCUCAUCGAACAUCGAGAUUCAAAAAUGAGAAUUUAAAAUCUCAAGUGAACUCAUAUCAUUCAUGAAAUCGAGUUUAAAAUGAACCAUCAAUCUCAAAAGGAAGUUGGAAGUUCAUAAAAGUUCAUUUCUUAAGAAAUCAGAAAUUUCCAGUUUUACGAGACAAUACUUGGAAAAUCAGAUCUUGAGUUUGGUAAGUCCAAAAAUGGGAAACUUUACACCGUUGGAAACUAGAUUCAUAGUACUAAAACUAAAAAUCAUUCAAAUCUCAGCUCAAAGCUACUAUUUCAUGAAGACACUUUUCCCAGAUUCCAACUAAAAAUCAUUCAAAUCUCAGCUCAAAGUUACUAUUUCAUGAAAUCAGGGCCGAACCAGUCUUGAUUUUUCAGUAAUGUUUGGAAAUUCAAAAAAAAUUCACAGAAAUUGAAUUAGCCUCUAAAAUUUAUAACACAGCAAGAGUUUCAAGUAAAGUUUCAAACACAACCAGAGGAACUAAAUUUGGAUUUUUGAACAGCAAGAUACAACAGUUUGAAGAUGGCUGGAUUUCACAACCUGUCCAACAAUUUUCCAGUUACCAGCUUUGACACCGUUUUGAAAUCAAACCAUAUCUAACUCUACACAAGUCCAAAUUGAGGAUGAUUUAUGGCGUUAGAAACUAGAUUCAAAAUGUUUCAAAUCAUCAGAAGACAUCAUUUUCAAACUCUUUUUACAAGUGAGACAAAAUUAAGCCACAAGAUACAAUUUCACAGUUUCUCGAGGAUAAACAGGUAAAACAGGUCAGUCCACUUUACUGAUUCGUUACGGGUCACUCAAAACGAAUUAGCAAGGAAAUUUUAUAUCGUUUGAAAGCUCUUGGUAUCUAGUUUUAAAUGCCAAAAACGGCACUUAACUUCGACUUUUGUACAAAGAUUUAUGCUCAGACAAAGUACCCCUAGUCGGCUGCCCUGGCAGCUAUUUUCCAGAUUUCUACCUUUCCACAAAACCCAAGUUUAAUGUAACCAAUUGAAAUGAUUUUUGAAAGACAAUUUCUACACACAUAAUACAACAUAUAACAAGCAUUUUAGCAGCCAUAUAACCAACAAAAAUUCAAAAUCCAAGCAAGACAACAGGGCAGCAAAUUCGGCCAGCCCCUCUCAAGAGUUUCUUUUAACUUUCUUUCCUCUUACCAAGCCAAUGUCAAGUCACUCAUCACACAAACAACAACAAUCAAGUAAAAAGCCUCAAGUCCACUACCUAAAGGCCACCUCAAGACCACUAGCCUAGGAUAUAAAGCAAGAAAUAAAAGUUCCUCAAGUCCUCUAGCCUAACUUCUUGAUUAAGGUUUCAAACCCAUGAAAUACAACCUUUACUUUUGGUAAAAUUUGAAACAUUAAAGAAGGAUGAGCUUGUUACCUCUUCAAGUUCUUGAACCCUAGGAAGAGCCAAGUUAUGCACCACUAACCACCAAGAAUUCACCACAAGAUGGAAGCUUCCUUCAAGUUGGAUCAACUACUAAAGGUUUGGAGGAUUUUGUAUGGAUCUUGGAGCAAGAUUGGUGAAGAAAAAUUGGAGCUUUUCUCCCUUCUUCUUGAGCUAGAGAGGGUCGGCCAUGGAGAGGAGAAAAAGGGGAGAAAGUGAGCUUUGAAAUGUGAUGGAAAAGUGAGGUGAAAGGUAGCUUUUGGAGGGUAAAAGUCAACUUUGAAUAGUAGCUCUAAUAGUGUCAUGCACUACCAAUUCGUUCUUGUUUGCUACACUUAAAUACUAAUCCUCUAAGGUGGUUCCUCUAACACUACAAAUACUCAUACUUACUAGUCUAAAAUUAAUUCUCCAAAAUUAUUGCACUUUCGGAUCGAAUAUCGCCUCGAAAAAUGUGUAUUCGCUAUUCCUUACUAGACGAGCCGCAGAAAAAUUAAAUUUGCUAACGGAACGUUUUAAAAAAAUAUAAAUGAGACAUUGCUCCAUGCAAAUAAAAUUAAAGUGGUUAAAAUAAAUUAUUCGGAGAAAACGGGUAAAUAAAUAAUUAAAUAAGCCAGUAAAAUAAAAUAAAAGUAAGAAAAAUUUGGGUCCUCACAAACACCAACUUAUUUACCUUUCUGGUUCAGCUGCAAUUGAAACAACUAGUAAAGCCUAAUUAAUCAGAAAACCCAAGCUUAGAAAACAAAAGAUUGGUGAGAUAAAAUCCAAACCUAACAAAAUAAAGGUUGGUGGGAUAAAACCCAAAUCCAACAUGGUUGAUGGAAUAAAACCCAAAUUUAACGAAAUAACAGUUGGUGGGAUAAAACCUCAACCCAACAAAAAAAACGGUUGGUGGGAUAAAAUCCAAACCAAUGAAAUGGCAGUUGGCAGGAUAAAAUUCAUUUCCAACAAAAUAGCGGUUUGUGGGAUAAAAUCCAAACCCAACAAAAUAGACAAAAUAACAGUUGGUGGAAUAAAAUUCAAACCCAAAAAAAUAACGGUUGGUAGGAUAAAAUCUAAACCUAACGAAAUAUCAGUUGGUGGAUAAAAUCCAAAUCUAACGAAAUAGUGGUUGGUGGGAUAAAAUCCAAACCCAAUAAAAUAACGGUCGAUGAGAUAAAAUUCAAAUCCAAUGAAAUAAUAAUUGGUGGGAUAAAACCCAAAUCCAACGAAAUAACGGUUGGUGGGAUAAAAUUCAAAUCCAACGGAAUAACGGUUGGUGGGAUAAAACUCAAUUCCAACAAAAUAACGGUUGAUGGGAUAAAAUCCAAAUCCAACAAAAUAAAACCCGACGAAAUAACAAUUAAUAGGAUAAAAUUCAAACCCAACAAAAAAAAGGUUUACAUGAAAAUGUGUUUGAAUCAAAAGCUGUGAAGUGAUUUUUGCUAUUUUACUAAACAAAUGUUAAACUUACUUGUAGAAUCAGAUAUCACUUUCGUGACAAAAUUUGUCCCAGUGUAAAUCAGACUUAGCUAAAUAAUUGUUGUUUUCUGUUCCUUCAAAAAGACAUGUCUAGUCCAAUCCUGCAAAAGGAAAUAAAAACAACUGUGAUAAAAUAUAAUGCCAUUACCGUGCGAUCCCUCAAACCUUGAGAAACAUGAGUCUUUUGAUAUCGGGCGACUGUUCGAUUUAAACAUCUUGUUUAACCUUCCUUUUGAUCUGCUAGUAUCUGUACUCAAUCAACCAUACUUAUACCAUAGAUAUACACUCAUUACGGUAAAUUACGGGGAUCGUCUCUUGGUUAAAUUCAAUGAAAAACACGUAAAAGUUUUAAACAAGAUAAUUUCAUGCAAUAGUGUAAAAAUAAUUUUAGUAAAAAAUGACUCUUAUUAAAUUUACGAAAAUAAUUUGGAGACUCAGAUACAAAUUUGAAUGGCCCUUUUAUGAUAAAAGGAACGUCACAUUUGACCCCUUCGAAUAUCACGUUCCUGAAAUUCGGUGUUGCCAACAGACCUUAACAUGAGGAAAAAUUCAAACGAACAUAGUUACCAGCUUCUGAACAGUCGACCCUCUGCUUUCCAUUCACAGCUCAGUCAAUGAUUCAAAACCCUACCUUAGCACUCUUUUGGAUUUUCACUAAGGUUGCCCCCGUCCAUUUAUUUUCUUUCUUUUACUUUUGCUUUUUGUUUUUUUUCUCUUUUCUUCUCUUUUUUUUUUCUUCUUUCUACUUUUUUUCUCUUUUUUUUAUUAACUUAAUUUUUUUUGUUUUUUGUUUAUUUUUUUUUUUGAAAAGGCUCUAUUUCGAAUUUUCACCUAAUGAACAAAUUUAGCGACGGCCUCUAUCAAUUCAAAAAUGUGUUUCAACAUUAAUGACAUCAAUGUAACAAUCCUUCCCUUAUAAAAUUGAUGAAUGUGGGUUGACAUCAUUUGCCAUUUGAUUAAACAAUUCUCAUUACAAAUACUGUUAAAGCGGAGGUUGGGACUUUAUGAUUUUUGUAACGAGAUCAGGUGUGGUGUUAAGAAAUGUUAAGACUCUAAAGCAAUUUUUUAAAGGGGUUUCAAAAGUUUUAAGAUCACAUCCUAUAAAAUCUUACUCCAAUAUAAGGCUAUUGAAAUCAUAAAAUUGCCCCAGUUUGGCUUUUAACUUUUCUUUUUAAUUAUAUAUAUUUUUUUUAAUUUUUUUAUAACAAACGAAAGAUAAGUUUUGCCCCAAUGUGGGGUUUGUGAUCCUUAGGAGGCUAUCAAACGAAGGAAUAGAUUAUUCUGGAGGCUCAAAGGGGAGAACAAGGGAUUAAAUAUUCAAAGGAAAAAGAAAUAAGCCCACCUUUUAGUUCACCCUAGACCGUAUUUCAAAAAGAAAACUCACAUAAUCAGAUAAAAAAACUUCUUGCACAUAAUUGAAUUGAUUGGUUGAAGAAAAAUCUGUCCGCCCAUCUCUGUGAGAAUGAGUGUUCCUCCGGGCAAUACCUUCUUAACAAUGAAAGGUCUUUGCCAAUUUGGGAUAAAUUUUCCUUUAGUUUCGUCUUGGAUGGGAAGAAUUCGUUUCAAAAUUUUGUCUCCUUCUUAAAAUAUGCGAGGUUUGACCCUUUUAUUAUAAGUACGGGCCAUUCGCCUUUGAUAAUACUGCCCAUGGAAAAUAGCAUUUAACCGCCUUUCAUCAAUCAAGGAUAGUUGCUCGUGCCACUGUUUAAUCCAUUCAGUUUCCUCCAACUGAGUUUCCAUUAAAAUGCGCAAAAAGGGAUCUCAACCUGCCGCGGGUAAUUCUGCUUCCAUACCGUACAUGAGAGAAUAAGGCGUUGCCCCAAUAGAAGUUCUAAUUACAGUUCGAUAAGCCAUUAAUGCAUAUGGCAGUUUCUCAUGUCAAUCUCGGUGUCUUUCCUUCAUUUUGUGAAUGAUUUUCUUCAGAUUUUUGUUUGCAACUACUACCGCUCCAUUCAUCUGAGGCAUGUAGAUAGUCGAAUUCCGGUGCUUGAUCUUGAAUUGUUCGCAUAAUUCAUCUAUCAUGUCAUUAUUGAUAUUUUUGUCGGUGAUCAGCAUCUCUAGCACCCAAAAACUACAGAUAAUGUGGUCUUUCAAAAAAUCAGAUACUACUUUCUUGAUCACGUUCUUGUAAGACGCUGUUUCAACUCAUUUCGUAAAAUACUCGAUCAUCACAGGAAAAAUCGAUGCCCAUUCGAAGCUGGGGGAUCAAUAGCUCCAAUCACGUCCAUUCCCCAUAUUGAACAGGGUCAAGGAGCAGUCAUACUAUGUAGUUUUGUAGAAAAAGAAUGUAUAAUAUCGGCAUGCAUUUGAUACUUUAUGCAUUUUCUAACAAAAUCUACACAUCAUGCUCCAUGAUAAGUAAAAAAUACCCCGUUCUCAUGAUCUUCUUAACAGUAAGUGCCCAUUCAUAUGGAGUCCGCAUACACCGCUGUGCACUUCUUUCAUCAUAUAAUCAGGUUUCUCUCUAUCGAUGCACCUUAGAAGGCCCAAAGCUGAUGUCUUCUCAUAUAACACCUCUUCGUUCAGGAAGAAUUUUGACGACAUUCUGCGCAAGAAACUCUUGGCAGCUGCAGCAGCACUCGGAGGGUAAGACCCUAUUUUUAUGAAUUCCUUAAUAUCGUUAUACCAUGGACGAUCGUCAGAUGUCUCUCUCACAACUAGACAAUGUGCCGAUUUAUCUUGAAAUUGAAUCUAAAUAGGUUUGAUUACUAACGCGUUCGGGUGUCAAAUCAUAGAAGACAAUGUGGCCAGAGUAUCAGCAAAAACAUUGCAAGUGCGACAGAUAUGUCUGAACUUUAAACUUCUGAAUUGAUUGGUCAAACUGAGCAGACUACAAUGACACAGCAUGAUUUUCGAGUCUCGCGUCAUCCACUAAUUAAGCGUUUAAUGUACCAAUAAAUCUGAAUCGCUGAACAUGAUUAAAUCCUUUAUCUCCAUUUCUAAUGCCAUUUUUAGUCCAAAAAUACAAGUUUCGUACUCAGCCAUGUUGUUAGUACAAGAAAAUUGUAAUUUAGUAGCGGCGGGGUAAUGGUUUCCCUCAGGUGACACUAGAACAGCUCUGAUUCUGACCCUAAAAGAAUUUGAAGCGCCAUCAAAGAAUAGCCUUCACCUAGAAUAUGGUUCGUUUAUAUCUUCCAACGUGCCAAUGAAUAAAAUUUCCUUAUCAAAAAAAUAGGUAUGCAAUGACUGGUAAUCAUCUUCUCUCGGAUUCUCGGCCAAAUGAUCUGCUAUGACUUGACUCUUGAUUGCCUUUUGCGUAGUGAAAAUGAUAUCGAAUUCUGAGAGAAUCAUCUGUCAUUUCGCCAUACGGCCUGUCAGCAUCGGAUUUUCCAACAAAUAUUUCAGAGGAUCGGAGCGACAAAUGAGACAGGUUGUGUGACUGAGUAAGUAAUGCCUCAACUUUUGAGCGGGCCAAGCUAAAGCGCAGCAACUCCUCUCAAGAAAGGAAUAGUUGACCUCGUACGCGGUGAACUUCUUAUUGAGAUAAUAAAUAACUUGCUCCUUCUUUUUUGAGUCAUCAUGUUGUCCCCUUACAUAUCUCAUAAUCUCAUCCAACACGGACAGAUACAUGAUCAAAGGUGGACUUGGGUUGGGUGGCACUAAGACCGUAGGGUUCAACAGAUAAUCCUUGAUCUUGUCGAAAGCUUGUUGACAUUUUUCGUUCCAGCGCAUCGGCGUAUUCUUCUUCAAUAAUUUGAACAAAACUCACAUGUAAAUAUUAAUUGUGCAAUAAAUCUGUCGAUAAAAUUAAUCUUUCCCAAGAAACACUUUACGUCCUUAUGAAUUUUUGGUAUAGGCAUCCCUCGAAUUGCUUUAAUUUUCGUCGAAUCAAUUUCAAUUCCCUUUUUACUGAUAAUAAACCCCAAUAAUUUUACCGACGGGAGCCCCAAAAGUACACUUGGCAGGGUUCAGCUUUAAAUUGUAUCUUCUCAACCUUUCGAACAAUUUCUUCAAAGCAACCAAAUGAUCUUCAAAUUUCUUGAAUUUAAUGAUAAUGUCCUGCACAUAGAAUUCCAUCUCUUUAUGAAUUAUAUCGUUGAACAAAGUGGUCAUUGUCCGUUGAUAAGUGGUUCCUACAUUUUUCAAUCUGAAAGGCAUUACCCGAUAGCAGAAGGUUUCCCACGGAGUGAUGAAAGCAAUGUUCUCUCUAUCUUUUUUCACCAUCAGGAUCUGGUGAUACCCGACAAAACAGUCACCAAAAGAUUCAAUUUCAUGUCCAGCAGUGUUGUCCAGAAGAAUAUGAAUGUUCAGCAGCAAAAAAUUAUCCUUCCGACUACCUUUGUUGAGAUCCCUAUAAUUGACACACACCCGCACUUCUCCACUUUUCUUCAAAAUCAAUAUAGGAUUUGAAAGUCAAAUGGGGUAAUGAGAUACCAUAAUAAUCCUGACGUUGAGCUGCUUCUCGAUCUGUUUCUUGAUUAUGAAACUUAUAUUUGACCAAAAUUUGCUUGAUUUUUACUUUACUGGCGAAAAUUUUGGAUCGAUCGGCAAUCUGUGAACCACUAUAUCUGUUGAAAUCCCGGACAUAUUAUCAUACGACCAAGCAAAUACAUUUUAGAAGAUGGUUAAAAAUUCAAUCAUCUUUUUUUUCUACUCCUUAUUCAAGUGCACACUGAUUUUGAUUUUUUUAACCUCCAUUUUAGUGCCAAUGUUAAUGUUUUCUGUCUCUUCUAAGUUCGAUUUGGGUUUUUUAAUCCAUAUUGUUCAAGAAUUUUUGAAAUAGACUCAAAUUCUUCCUCGCUAUCACUCUUUUUUUGAAUUUUGAAUUUCAUAAUUUCAAAUUCGUGAGAGAUAUCGAGUUUGCAAUAAUUGAAUUUUAGAAUGGUAAUAUCCAAAAGGACAAACGAUUUUAUUUUUGGCUAUCUGAAAAUAGAGUAAACAUCACAAUAAACAAGUAGAAAAUAAUAAAGAUGAACAAAAAUUUUUUAUUUCAUUAAAUUUAAAAAACAAACAGAGAUUGAAAUAAAGAUGAGUACUUUGCAAACUAAAACAAACACAUUCCCAACAGAACUGCGCAGUGGGAACGGUCUUUCAUGACACUAAAAGGAAACAAGUAACUAAAAAUAAAGUAACUUUUUGUCAUGGAUUUCGGCCAGGGACAAUCCCCUAAAUUUAUCAAAAUUUUCUUGGAGAGAGAAGGUAAUCUGCAGUUCAAUUUUACACAGCUCCUUCAGGAAUGGUUGGGAAUUCCAUUUCUUUCAAUGGCUUGUCCUCGCAGGUGACUCUGAAGAACAGUUGAGAUAGGCUCAUUUCAAUCUCUUCAAUCGGAUCCUCUUUAUCCAAUUCUGAUAGGAUCAUCCUAGAUGGUCGAGAAAAGGUGUAGCGCAACGGCGGGAUACUAAUAGCAAUCUGCUUUCUUUCUUUUUUCACCUUCUUACGAGCUUGCAUCUUCUUCUUGUCCUUAACGGUCGGUUACAAUCCCAAUCCAAAUGUAUCUUUCUUCCCCAAAAGCUCUAUAGGCUUCAAAAUGCCUUAUAAAUUUUGCUCCAAACCUUUGCCUAUUUCAUACCCCCUCGAAUAAUUUCCUUAGCCAUCAUGAUACUAGCUUCAGAUACAUCUAUUCAUUCUUUAAAAAUCUAUCCAACUAACACGAUAUCGACCACACGAUGAGAUGAAUUGAGAAUUUUUCUACUAUUUUCUCAACUCGAACCAGAAUUGACGAUCAUGGUGCAGUCAUCCUUAGUGAACACGGUGAUAAGUUGAUCAUUGACAAUGAAUUUCACCUUUUGAUAGAGAGAAGAUGGAAUGGCGCUAGAAGUGUGGAUCCAAGAUCGUCCAAGUAAGACGUUGUACACACUUGAAAAGUUCAUGAUUUGCCAAACUAGUUGAAAUUGGGUGGGCCCUAUCUCCUGUACUAAAUCAAAUUCGCCCAUUGAUUCCCUUCUAACUCCGUCAAAUCCUCUUAUUAUCGUGGCAGAUGGUCACAACCUAGCAUCCAAACGUCCAAGUUUCAUAAGAGUAUUUCCUUGGUAGAUGUUUAGAGCGGACCCAUUGUCUAUCAAAACUCUCGGCAACAACUUUCCAUUACAUCUCACUGAGAUAUAUAAUACCUUAUUAUGUCUGAUCCCUUCAGGAGUCAAAUCCUCUUCAGAAAAGGUUAUGUGAUUAGCAGCCAAAACAUUUUCCACAACAUGAGUAAACUUGUCAAUUGAAAUAUUCUUCGGUAUUCGAUCCUCACUCAAAACCUUGAGUAGCGCCUCUCUACGCAACUCGGAGGUUAAAAGUAAGUCUAGAAUAGAAAUUUGGGCGGACAUCUUGUCCAACUGCUCCAUAACCUUGACUCGCUCCUUUUCAGCAAUUUAAGAAAAUCCAAAGUUUUCUUUUCAGUCACAGACGGCUUUGAUGGCAUAAGAUUUUCCUCCACAAUCUUCCCAAGUUUAGUGACACUAACCCCCUCCUCUGCCGACAUGCUCAAUCAAUAAAGUAGAUUCACUAUAAUCUCAUGGUACUUCUUUUAAAUUAUGCACAGGUGAUUGCUCAGGAAAUUCAAACAUCACAGGUUCUGACAAAUCUAAGAUGAAGUGAUCGGUUUCCAAAAGCUUUCCUUCUAGUAUGAAAGGUUUCUCGACUAUUCCAAUCACUUUAUUUUCAUCCACAAUAUACCGACUAGGUUCCUUAAACUUCUCAUCGGAGGUAAUAACCCCUACAGUUCCUUUAUAUUCAGGAAGAGGGUUCUUGCCGACGUUUGGCCCUGAUUCACCCCUUCUCCUCAAGACUAUGUCUCCGGUUUCGAUCAUGUUUUGAAUCUUAUGCUCUAAUGCCCAACAAUUGGUGGUGGAGUGACCAGAACGUUCAGAGUGAUACGAACAAAUGACUUGAGGAUCAUAAUUAGCAGGAACACUACUAGGGUAGGUUUUAGGGGACGCCACGUUAAUCUUGCCAGUGGUUUUAAGUUACUCAUACAAUUGAUCGAGUGGACGGUCCAAGAUGGUGAAGGUGUGAGAUUGAUUUUGAUUUUGGAUUUCAUUGGUUUGAGAAUAGUUAUAUGUUUGAUUGUUUGACGGAACAAGUCUUGAAUUAAAAGGGGGUCGAGGUCGAAUUUGCAAAUUUGGUUAAGAAAUCUGAAAAAGUGGUGAAGGUUUAUUUGUAUAGUUUGGUCAAGGUCGAGGAUGGUUAAUGGUAGUGUGGUAAACAGGUCGAGGGUUUAAGUAGUAUGGAUAGAGUAAUGAGUAAGUGGGGCGAUUUUGAAAUCUGGAUCUAGUCGAAGGGCCUUAAUCCCAAACGAAGGCAGUCUCUCCUUCCUUCUUCUUAAAUUGGGGUUUCUUACCACUAUUAUUCUGACCUUGCAGGGCUCCCAGUUGCAUUUUCAAUGUCGACACGUUAACUAUUUUUUCUGCUUUGAUGAACUCAUCAAAUUCUUUCAACUUGUUAACAAUAUCCGCAAAUGAGCAUCCAGUUAUAUGAAAAAUCUCCUCAAAGUACAGUAGAUCAUGAGUUUUAAUAAAUAUGCGGAUAAUUUCCUCCUCGGUCAUGGGGGGUUCCACCUUAGAGACAAGUUUUCUCCAACGUUUAGCAUAUGUUUUAUGGUCUUCCAAUGGCUUUCUCUUGGUUCCCUCAAGUGUGGUUCUUGUUGGCACAAACUCACAAUUGUAUUCAUAUUAUCUCACGAAAGCUGUAGACAGGUCCAACCAAGUUCUCAUCUCUUCUAACUUCAAAUUAAAAUAUCAAUCCAGAGGAGCAUCACCCUCCAAGCUUUUAAGGAACAGACGCAUCGGUAGGUUCUCAUCAUCUACUGGCUUUUCUAACUUGUUUGGGAACAUUCGGAGAUGCGUUUUUGGAUUUUCGAUGUCAUCAUACUUGCUAAAUUUAGGAGUUUUGAAACCCAUAGGCAACUACAUAUCCGAAAAAAGAUAGAGUUCAUCGUAGUCUAAGUCUCUAUGCUUGUUCAAUCCUUGGCUCUUUUUCAUGAAUUCAUCAAAGCGGUCCUACCUCUUCAGUAGAUUCUUAUCAAUUGAAGCAGAGGGCUCGUCUAUUUCUACUUUCACUUGAAAGGCGGUGUCCAACAUCAAUGGCUUUGUGGUAGGGUGAUGGGAUUCUUGAGGGUUAGAGGGGAUAUUCAGGUUGAUUUGUGGAUAAUUUUGGAGAAUUUGGUGGCUAAUCGGGUUGACGAAAAUAUUAUUUGCGUAUAUAUGUGGUAAAUUGGGGAUGGGAUAAGUAAAAGCAUUUUCAGAUAGACUUGUAAAAGGCAAAACAAAAGUGGUUUGAUUAUGUGACAUGUGAGGUGGUGGAUUUUCUAACUUAUAUUGGUUAUCGUCAACAGGUACAUUAUUGUUUUGGACACCGCUAGUGUUGUUCGAGAUCAGUUGGUCAAUCAUGUCCUUUUAUAAUGUCAUUUUUGCACUUAACUCGUUGAAUUUGUUUAGCAUCUCACUUAAUUGGGUCCCCAGAUUUGCAGCGUCUGACGAUGGAAUCAUUACAGAUAUCUUCGAUGGUUCAGGAUGGGAACUCAUGUUUUCACGAUUUCUCAAGAUUCGGCUGCGGGAUCGCGUAAUGAUGGAACUUCUACGGGUAGCUAUUUUUAAAAGUAUCUGAUGAUAAAAAAAGAAAUUGGCUCAGUUGUGCGCUUUCUAUCAAAUUUCUGUAAUUUAUUCAAAAGAUAAAAGAAAAAGAAAUGAGUUAGUAGAUAUUUGAAUAAUUUCGAUGCAUGACCUAUGAGGGAACUCUUUUUACGCCAAGAGUCGGUCUAACCUGAUGCAAUUCUUUCGGGAUAAAAUCUCAAUUUCAAACUUGUAAGUGAAUGUAGAAAUCAAAGUAGAAAUUCUCAUUAAACACUGAUAAGUUCAAUCAUUUUUUACAAUUUCAUUAAUAGUUUGGCUAAUCAUUUUUACAAAAUUCUCAUACCUCGCUAAAGUACUACGUUGAGACUCUCUAGAACUUACUAUACUAAACUUCCGAAUUCCUUCUUGAAUUUUAUCAAAUGCAUCCAAUGCUCUCUCCAACUUUUUAAUUUUUCUUGUCUCUCUCUUUAAUUGUGAUUGGGCGUCUUCCAAGGCAUGGCCAGCCACUAAAAGCUGUAAUUGGUAAUUCUUGACCUCUUUUUUUAACUUCUCUAUAUGCUCUUCAAGACGGGCAAGAGUAGACUAUGAUCUCUCUCUUCCUUGUUCUACUAUAAGUUUGAUCCAUUCAUCAUAUUUCGAAAUGACUUUAGGUUCCAAUUUGUUCACUUAAUCCAAGUGCAGGUUCUCUAAACUAUGAAGAUUCCCCCAAGCUUCUAGUACCAUGUUUCGACUCUCAACAACUGUGUUGAAUCUGAUAUUUCCAAUUCCUUGUAUCAUUAAAACUAUUUGUGGAUACCCAAAUUGCCUCAUGACUCAUUGCGGAACAUAUGCGACCAAUCCGUUGGUGCUUGCUAGAGGAAUAAAAUUGUGUUGGGUAGUUUUGAAAGUCGGAUUCCUAACUUUCGUCCAAUCUAGAACCCGUUAUAUUUUGUUCAGUGUCAAGCUGUCAAACUCUUAAACGAACUGACUUGGAGAUGCUAUUUGGUAAUAUCUUUUGACCCCUUUUCGAUGUGAUUCGAUCCAAUUCUCUGUUGGGAGACAAGAUCCCAGGGGAUUGAGCAUCCUCUUCACUAGAUGUUCCAUUGCCCAUAUUUCAAGUAUCAAAUUUAAUGCACAGAAAAACCAAAAGAAAUUUGGUGUCAAAAGAUGUCGGCAAUGAUGGUACCAAAGAGAAUCUGAAUGGGAGUCAAAAAGAAAAACAUUUGGUGUCACGUUCAGAAGACUAGGUAAAUGCCCCACAUACUUAAAUAAUUUUUUCGCCUCGUGCGACAUAUUAUUUUUUCAAUCAGUUAGUUCUCGAGGUAUCUGAUUCAGCACUCUACAAGGAGCCAUCUAAGCAGAAAUUCACUUUUAAUACCUUAUCUCAAGAUUUUACCCCUUAGAAAAUAUAAAAUUAUAAACAUGCAAAUUUCAUUGGAUUAAAUAUUCGAGACACAAGGUGGCUUAUUCCUAACAUGGGAUCCCGGCAUUCUCUCUAUGGUUGAUGCAUGAUGACAGUUUAUUAAAACGUGUAAAUAUAUACAAUACGAUAAUUGGAAAACGACCUCAAAGUGCCCCAUUUAAAUGUCGGGAUAAGUCUAAAAUGAUGUACAAUAUAUAUACGUAUUAUUAAUGUAAUAACUAAAAUUUAAACGUGUUUUUUAUAAAAGGUGAUUUUUCCUAAACGAGUACCAUGCCAGAAUUCUUACUUUCUAAGAUUUGUGAAUGCAAGAAAAGAGAAAACAAAGAGAUAUUAGUUCAAUUAAUAAAUAACACAUAGCACAUUGGAGUACUAAAAUGAUACAAAAAUAUAAAAGAAGAGAACAUGGGUAGAAUCCCUCCCCUCGUGUCUAGUAUGCCUAAUAGAGUAAAGUUGACUCUAUCCUAGGCGAUUUCUAAUAUGGAUAGAUGAAGUUGGGCUCACUAAUGCAUCUAAACUCGAUAAGAUUUCAAGUUCCCAAAUCUUCAGACCAAGAGGCGAAAGGUCAGCAAUCCCAAAAUCUUCAGUCGGUGGAUUGAGUGAUCCCUUAGGCAUCGCUAUAGGCGCAGAGCACACCAUCCGCCUACCUAAGUAAUCGAUUCUAAUCAUACAAGAAAAUGUGGGAUGGUGCCCACGAGAAAAAUAAAAAUAGGACAAAAGUAAUGCAUGCACGUAUGAAAUGCUUCCUUCGAGGGAAUGGAUUAAAUACCAUUAAAUAUGGGUAAAAGCUCUAGGGUAGCUAUACCCCCCCCCCCAAGAUAUAAAGUGCGAUACAAAUAUAUAAACAUAAAUAAAUGAAAGUAAAUAAAUAAAUUAUUCAUCAUAUACACGGAUAUCGAGAGACGAUUACGUGUGCGAAAUGAAAAAAAUCCUAAAAAGAAGGAAAAAAUAAAAGGAAAAGAAAAAUGCAACCUAAACAUCCCACUAUGAUAUGUAAAAAUGUUAGAAAAAGAAAAGACUAGACUAAAUCAAGUGUUUGGACUCUCUAAAAAUUUCCAGUGGUGUCACCAGCUGUCGCGUCCUAUUUUUAAAAAAAUAAAUUAAUGAUUAAAAAAAUAAACUUUUUAUUUUAAAGAAUAUUGGCGCAUAAAAAUGUAAUUUUUAUUAAAAGAUGAGUAAAAAAAUGAGUUUUAGUUCUUGAUUAGUUUUUAUUUUAGUUUUUAAUUUAGCAAAAAUAAAAAGAAAGAAAAAGGGCCUAAAAUGGGAUUUAAAAAAAUGCGACAGUUUUGGCCCAAAAUAAUAGUCUAAAAAGGAUUUUUAAGAAAAAUAGGAGUCGCCACUUGAUAUUGAGUUAAGGUGUACCAAAUCACCUAAAAUAUGUUUUUAAGAUAAAAGAUAAAAAUAAAAACCCUUUUUAGACUACUCCAAGUUUUUGAAAACAAGAGAAAAGAGUUCGAGAGUCACGCUUGAAGAAAAGGAAUGCAAAGAUUUGAUAGAAUCAAAUCUAAGAAACCCUGUCAAUCUAACCAAUGUUAGUUGCGAGAUUUAGUCAAAAAUUUUCGUAAUCUUACCUAUGAAAACUUUUCUAUAUAAAUGCAAACCUAGACCUGGGGGCUAUCGAGAGGGUCGAGAUGUUUCUUCAAAAUUUAAAUGGUGCAAUCACAUUAAUUGUGAUGUCCAAAAUGAUUUUUAGAAGAAGUUACAAAUAUACAAAAGAUGAGACUCGAAGAAAAGGAAAAUUAUAAUAUAUAAAUAUACAUGACCUAAAAUAGAGGAAUGCAACAUAACAUGUACGAGAGAUCUGAAUUCGUGACUCAAUUUUCAUUUCUAUAAAGGAGAUAUGAAUGUGCUAAGACUGAGAAACUAUGUUCGUCCAUUUUCUAUAUUUGAAGAGUGCCUCUCCUAACCUAGUCAAGCAAAUGAACUAACAUAUUUCUAGUUUUCUAAAUGGAAUGCAAGUCUAAAUGUCACGUUUAGCGCACAUAGGGGUAAGGAAGUUAAGGAAAUAUCAUGUCAAACGAAGAAAAGGAUUCUAAAGGUGAAAAGUAUGCAUGAAAUACAAUAAAUGUCAAACAAAUUAUGAAUUCUAACGUGAAACCGGCCUAAAGGGUCUAUCAUUGAACUAUCCUAUUUCUGUAAGUUCUCAUUAGCGUUGGACUAGUGAGAAAUCGGGGAAAAAAAUUCACAACUAACAUUGGAUCAGUGUGGUGACGUCAUGUAUUUAUUAUAACUAAAUAAAUCAUAUAAAACAUAAUUAAAACAAGUAAAUACAUAAUGCACAUAGAACACAUAACACAUAGGUAUAAUUUCUAGAUGCAAAAGUCUAGUGAAAGCGAAUAAACACUCAAACACACAAGCAUGUAAGCACACAAGCAAAUAAACACAAAUAAAAGCCUAACUAUUUGGGGUCCUAACUACAAUCUAAGGGGGAAAUUUUUUUAAAAAAAUAACAUAACUAUUACAUUUAUCUAACUAAAUACAUUUUUGGCAAAAAUUAAAAUCUAUCUAUUACAUAUCCUAACUAAAUACAUGUCUUGAGUAUCUAUUUAUUACAAAUUGGCAUUUAAAUGCCCUCAAAUAAUCACCAAAAAUUAAAUAUAAUAAAUGAAAAUUUAAGAUGAAUAAAAUAAAUAAAAGAAAAGAAAAGAAAAGGCACUCAAAACAUGCAAUCACAUAUAAAAAGCACAUACGAGCACAUAAAGGGAUUUAAAAUAAUACUAGAAGGUACUUCCCUUUGAAAUAGUGGUUAAAUGAGGUUGGAUUUGCCCUAUUUAUACUCCAAGAUCAACAAAAUGGUCAAGCCACCAAUUUAAUUAACAAAUAAAUUAUAAAGCAAUGGAAAUAACCAUGAAAUCUUCCAAUUAAAGCAUUUAAAUGAACUAUAAUUAACAAUUAAAGAAGAUAAACAACUUAUAUUUAAGAAAUUAAAACUGUCAGGGAUCUAAUUGUAAAAAUGAGAAAGUUUUUGGGAUCAAAUUAUAAUUAUUACAAAAUUAGGGUCAAAUAAAAAAAAUAAAGUUCAUGGACCAAAUUGCAAUUAAAUUAGGGACCUAAUUGAAAGAAAUCAAAAGUUUUUAGAGCCACAGUACAAUUACUUUGAAGUAAAGGGACCAAGUUGCAAUUUUCAUUUUCUAGUUUGGCCAGAAAAAGGCCUUGGGCUAUCCUUCAAAUUUUUCGUUAGGCCAAAGUUACCUAGACCCAGCAAAAAGUCCAGAAAAAUGGGUGGACUAGCCUGUCAUUUUUACUAAACUAAGCUUGGUGAAAAAAGGUUGGACUUGAACCCCAAGCCCGGUCACAAACCCAAGCAUAAAAGAAAAUCUUCCCCCAUAUUUUUAACCAAGAACAUGUUUUAUCAACCCAUCAUGGCCCAGAUCGGAUCAAAUCAAAUAAAAGAUCAAAUUGGGGGAAAAUAAAAAGAAAAUAAGUGAAGAACAUUCUGGCGGGUUGACCCGCUUGGAUGACCAGUCGGAAUCUGGAAAAAUUCCGGCCAUCUUGGCCGGAAAUUCGCCGGAAUCCAUUUUCACCGGCUUUUAAUACCGGAUCUUGACAUAAACAUACUUCCCAUGAUCUCUUGAGUUAGUUAAAAUAUCAUACAUCACCAUUUAAACAACAAAAUCUUAAGAAAAAAGAGAUCUAAGAUGCAAAACCCAUAAACUCAUGUAAUAACUUAAAAACACAUGGAAAAUGUUAGAACAACCAAGAAAAAGGGUUAUAAUUACCUGAGGAAGUUAGGGAACUUGAAUAGACGUGAGAAAUCACAGUGAAACGUGCCCAGAUUCCGAAAGUGAAGCAAAACACUUCUUGUCGCAGAAGUUUAAGAGCUGAGAAAUUGGCAACUUCAGGUUCGAAUAUGAAGGUUCUGGAAGUGUUUUUUCAAGAAACUUUCAACAUGAAAACUCCUCUACUACAUCCAUAGAGUAUCUAGAAAUCAAGAAUCGAUCUAAAAGAAGUCAAGAUGAAGAAGAAAAUGGCGUCUGAACAGGGCUGCCUGUUCAGCCCUAGCUCAAUUUUUUCUGAAAAUUUCCUGCUACUUUUUCUUCUUUUUCCUUCUCUGUUUUCUCUCUUUUCCUUCCUUUUCUGUUUUUCUGCCGCCUCCCACUCUUUUUUCUACCCUAAUGGCCGUAUUUCUAUGCAUUUAUAUGGAACAAAACCCCCCCCCAAAACCCUAUGAGCAUUGGUGGAGAUUGGUUGGCUUUUUGGGGAUGAUUUGGAGCCAUUAGAUGGCUGAUUUUGAAUAAGAAUUGGAAGAUGAUCUGGCCCUUGUACUGGGGGGCUUAGAAGGAAAGAAAACAAUGCAAAAAAAAAAAGAGUGGAAUAGGGAUCAAAUGGCCACUGCAAUUCUCUGGUACUAUGGCCUCGUUGCUGGUUUUGUACUAGUUUUCAUGAAGAAGGCACGUGCGUGAAGGAAUUUUAUUUUUUUUUACAAAAACUGAUUUUGAUUUUUGUUUUCUUUUCUUUUCUGCUUUUUCUUUCCAUCUUUUCUUUUCUUUUCUUUUCUUUCUAAUUUUCUAAAAAUAAAUUGAAAUGAUUUUCUUAAGAAAUAGAAAUGAAACAAAAUAAAUAAAAUAAAUAAAAUUUAAACAAAAUAAACUAAAAAUGAACAAAAAAUGAACAAAAAAAUAGGAAUAAAAUGAAGAAAAAUAAAAUGGUAACAUUUUUGUGUCUACACCAAUGAUGUUCUAGAAGUCAAAGACAAUUCUCACUCCAAAUUUGGACCACCUCCCACUCCAUCACUUCCAAUUCUAGCAAUAAUUUCAAUAAUAAUUUCUUUAUUCUUUCCUAUUUUAUAUGUAGCAAACUCACUUGGAGAAUCAUGGGUUUAAUCAAGACAACCCGGUGCGCUGCUUCAUGCUCUAAUUGAAGACAAAUCAGUGAUGAUAUUGCUUGUACAUUUCUCCAUUACUUGAUUAUCUAUUGUUCUCUACUUUCUAUACCUUAUCUUUCCUUUCCCCUUUCCUUGUCUUCGUGGCUGAAAAAGAAAAGAAUAAAGCAUGAGGGGAAGGAUGUCUGAUAACUUUGAGUCCUUUGUUGGUGCUUAUUAUGACGGCUUUGAAUUCAUGUGGCAAUAAUUGAGUUGGAUGCAAUAACUUUUUUGUUGUUUUCAUUCACUUGGAUCACCUUUUCUAAUCUUUCUGUUCAUGUUUUGUUUGGAUCACUUUUUGGAUGUAGUUUUGUUUUGCAGCAACUUUUUGUUGUUUUGUUUAUUUGAUCGAGUCGACUUCGAGUUACCUAGGAGGUUUUGGCUAAUAUAAUGCGUUAUGAAUUCAAAUCGGCCAAUAUCGACUGAAUCAAAGUGAGUCGUCAUGGAUAUAGAAUUAUCUACGAUUCGAGGAUCGAUAUCAUACCGGUCUCCUCUGUUCCGAUUAUGACUUGACCGUGUCAUAUCGGAAUCGACCGAUAUUGCUAACCAUGCCAUAGAGACGAAGUAAGAUUUAACAUCCUGGCACUAUAAACCACUAGUCAUGAAGUAUUAUAUGUAGUUUCAAACUAAAAAACUAUGCUGUCCUUGAUAAUUAGAAAACAAAGCCAUUAGCUUUUAUAAGGACAGGUAACUCGAGCAGAAGCACAUAGCAGAAGUAAGAGCUGAGUAAGUGAGCAAGGUUUACUGCAAUAGGAAGCAGCAAAUCACGUGCAUUGAUUAACUAAUCUAAUAUUACUUUUUUAGGUCUGACCUCAAGAAUUUGACGAAACAAUUCUUAACAAUCCUAAAAAGGCAAUUAACAAAGCAAAAAUAAAAUGAAAUAGGAACACAAAAUUUACGUGGCAAUCCCACAAAAUUGCUUUUGUUAGGUCUAAAGACAAAUAACAAGCAAAAAUAAAUGAAAUAGGAACAUAGAAUUUACGUCCACAAGUGGAGGAGGAGCACAAUUUCACUAUGAAGAAGAGAGUACAAAAACCUUAGGAAAGUGUUUCCGGGGUCAAAAGUAGCUACUAAAACACAAGAGAAUUCAAAAUAUUUUUACUACAAAAAGGUUUAAUAAUCCAAAGAGUCAAAUAGCCUACUAAAACUAUAUUGAUUUGGUGUGCUUAAUCUCAUCACAGGUCCACCCUAUUUAUAACCAACUAAGAGAAAGACUCUUUUGUACAAAAUCAAUGUGGAACAAAGCCAUUUAUAACAAAUUUUUACUUUGACGUGUCCCUAACAUCGAUAAAUAGUCUUCUUCAUAUAAGCUCUAAUGGAUCUAAAUCACGAACAACGAAUACUAACCAAAUCCAAGCAUCGAUUGAACUUAUAAACUAGAAGAAGUUCCGUGAAUUGUUAGUAGGAUUCUCCUCGAUAUUGAUUUUUUGAACAAGAACUUUUCCCUCAGCAACAGUAUCUCGAAUGAAGUGAAACUUUACAUCAAUGUGUUUCAUCCUCUCAUGAUAUAUCUAGUUUUUAGUCAAGUGAAUAGUACUUUAAUUAUCACAGUAAAUAGUAGUAACACCUCGAUAUAGACUAAACUUCCCAAAUAAACCCUUUAACCAUAAGGUUUCUUUGAUUAUUUUGGUCACAGUCAUAUAUUCUACCUCUAUAUUAGAUAAAGUUACAACAGGUUAUAAAGUAACUUUUCAACUAACUACAGAACUGCCAAUGCAAAAUAUAUAAUUUGAAAGUGAUCUUCUUCUGUCAAGAUUCUUGACAUAGUCAGAGUCCAUAAAAUCAACCAAAUUGUCACUAUUUCUCCCAAGUUUUAAACAAUUAUUUGAAAUCCUUCACAAAUAUCUGAAAAUCCACUUCACAGCCUGUCAAUGUACUUUUUCAAAAUAAGACAUAUAUCUGAUAAUAAUAUUGACUGCUUGUGCGAUAUUUGGACGAAUACAAACCAUUGCAUAUAUUAUAUUGUCAAUUACUCUAGAAUAAGGAACUCCUACCAUAUAAUCUUCUUCUUAGCUAACUGUGGUGACUGAACAGCUAAUAGUCGAAAAUGACAAACAAGAGGAGUAGUCACAGGUUUAGCAUUUUUCAUGCCAAAUUUCUCCAAGAUUUUCUCAAGGUAAUUUUUCUUGGUAAAGAAUAAUUUUCCAACUUCUUAAUCUCGCUUGAUCUACAUAUCAAGAAUUUUCUUAGUUACUCCCAAAUAUUUCAUCUCAAAUCCACUAAUUAACUACAAUUUCAAAUUGUGAAUUUCUGAUAAAUUCUUGGCAGCAAUGAACAUUUCAUCAACAUAAAGUAACAAAUAAAUGAAAGAAUUAUUAUCUAACUUCCGAAAAUAAACACAACUAUCAUACAUGCUCCUCAAAUAAGCAUGACCCAACAUAAAAAAUCAAACCUCUUAUACUACUGUCAUUGAGGUUGUUUCUAUCCAAAUAAGAAUUUUUUUAACGAAAAACAUGAUCUUCCUUUCCUUCAAUUUCAAAUCUCUGAAAUUGCUUCAUAUAAAUUUGUUUUUCAAGUUCAUCAUGCAGGAAAUUUGUCUUAACAUCAAGCUGCUCUAACUCCAAAUCAUAAUGGCAAUUAAAGCAAGCAAAACACGAAUAGAGCUACGUUUAACAAUAAGUAGAAAUACAUCAUUAAAAUCAACACCUUGUACCUGACUAUACCCUUUGCAACCAACCAUGUUUUAUACCUUGUAUUUUCAACCCCCAGAAUAACCUUUUUUCUCCUUAAACACCUAUUUGUAUCCAACAAUUUUUUUUUAUCUAAAGGCAACUUCACAAGAACUUAAGUUCUAUUUUGGUAAAAAGAUUCAAUUUUUUCAUUCAUCGCAAUCAAUCACUUAGCAAAAUCAUCACAAGAAACUACUGUUGAAUAGGUUGUAGGUUCACUAACUCCAUCAAUUUCUUCUGCAAUAGACAAAGCGCAUGCAACCAAAUCUACAUAUUUUUGUGGUGGUCGAAUAUCCCUCCUUAGUCUAUGUUUGACAAUAUAAUAUUGCUUCUCUUUUGGAUUAUUUUCAUCAGUAGAUUCAAGUACAUUUACUGGCAUUUGCUGAAUAGAAGAGGUGGACUAAGAAAGACCAAAACUACCAAUUUCAAACUUCUCCCACUUCUACAUACUGUCAUCUGUAUGACAAGAACUAAAAGACUCCUUAGAAGAUAGCAUAAAGAAUUCAUCAAAAGUAACAUCUCUAUUGAUCAAAAUUUUUGAAAAUUUGGCAUCAAAACACCACAAUCUAUAACCUUUCACUUUAGAAGCAUACCCAUAGAAAAUACACUUUUUAACUCGAGACUCCAAUUUUUCAUCAUUUAUAUGCAUGUAUGCUAGAUACCCAAAAACUUUUAAAUUAGAGUAAUCAAUAGCAAUACCUGACCAAACUUUCUUAACAGUUUUAAAAUCAAGAGUUGCAGAAAGAGUACGGUUGAUAAUGUAACAAGCUAUAGAGAUUACCUCUGCCAAAAGUCCUUUUGUCAACCCAGUAUAGAGAUCAGACACCUCGCUCUCUUUAAAAGUAUUUUGUUCAUACGUUCAGCCACAUCAUUUUGUUGAGACGUCAUUUUGACAAUGUAGUGCCGAAUAAUUCCUUUAUUCUUGUAAAAUUCAUCAAAUUCACCUUCACAAAAUUUCAUGCCAUUAUUUGUUCUACACCGCUUGAUCUGUCUACCUGUCGAUUUUCAAUCAAAACUUUUGAUUGGUUAAAAGUUAGGCAUAUAUCAUUAUUAUGUUUAAGAAAAUAAACUAAAACUUUUCUUGAAUAAUUAUCAAUGAAAGUUAAUAUAUACGUGACAUCACCUUUAGACGAAACACGAGUUGGACCUCAUAGAUCUGAAUGAAUGUAAUCAACAGUACCUUUCGUCUUAUGAAUUAUUGGUGAACUAAAAUGGACUCUUUUCUGUUUCCCAAAAACAUAGUGCUCACAGAAUUUCAAUGGUCCAAUAUUCUCCCUGCAAAGAAGUUCCCUUUUACUUAGUAUACCUAAUCCUUCAUUGUUCAUAUGCCUCAAACACAUAUGUCAUAAUUUAGUGAUGUCAAAAUCAAAUUAAGAUGAUGACGAGACCGUAACCAAACUUGUAACAAUAGAUUCCUGCAAAACAUACAAACUACCAGGCCUACAAGUUUUUAUAACAACAAAAGCCCUUUAGAGACCUUCAUAGUGUCAUUUCAGCCGUGUAUUUGCACUCAAGAGCCUCCAAAGUGCCCAAAGAGAUGAGAUUCUUUUUCAAAUAAAAAAUAUGUCUAACAUUAGUGAGCAUCCUCACAAUAUAAUUAUGCAUUUUAAUUCAAAAUGUACCGUUAUCAAUAAUAUCAUAAAUGGAUUAUUGUCGAUCAAAACAAUUCCAUCAUUACAAGGUUCAUAAGUGAAAAAAAAUUCCCUAUUAGAACACAUGUAACAAGAAUAUCCCAAAAUCUAAAAUUGAUUCAUUUUUAGAUCUUGUCCUAUCAUUUGUCAUAAAAAAAUAUUUUUAUUACUCUCAUCAGUUGCAACACGAUUUUCAGCAGUUUCAAUAUUUUUGUCACCAUAUUUUUCCUUUUGCUUUAGUUUAAUUUUCAAUUUAAAGCAAUCAGCCUUAAUGUGCUGCAUUUUGUGAUAAUAAUUGCACUCCAAAUUUUUAUAUCUAAAUUUAGAUCUACGAUUGUCAAAUUUUCUUUUAUUAAUUGUGCCUCAAGUAACCAGUUCUUCCACCUAACCUCCAUUACUUUCUUCGAUGAUAUUAUUGUUUAUCUGCUAUUUAGAUCUUAUUGCAGAUUUAAUUUCCUGAUACACAAUUGUUUCUUUUUCAUAAAUCAUAGUAUCACGAAAAUAUUUAAAGGACUAGGGAAGGGGACACUAAAGUAACAUGACCUGAUCCUCAUUAUGCAUUUUCGAAUCUAUAUUCUUCAAAUCCAUAAUAAUGGUAUCAAAUUUAUUAAGAUGUGAGAGUAUAAAUGUGCCUUCAGUCAUCUGAAACAUAUACAGACUUUGUUUUAAACAAAGUCGAUUCUCAACUGUCUUUUUCAUAUACAAUACUUUAAACUUAUCCGAUAUAGCCUUAGCCGGAGUUUCAAUGGCUACCUCCCAUAAAAUCUUAUCAGAGAGAUUUAAAAUAAUACUGGAUCUAAUCUUAUUAUCCAUUUCAGAAAAUUUUGCAUCUAUCACAUUCUCUAGCUUUUUCUAAACCCUGUAUGUCACUAAAUCAACUUCUUCUUGAACCAAAAUUGACUCCAUCUUGAGCUGCUACAUCCUGAAGUUAACAUUUCUAUCGAAUUUAUUGAUAAUAGUUUUUGUUAUUGUCAUCGUUGCCAUAGAACCCAAAGUUUUUGAAGAAAUUCUGAUACCAAAUUAUUAGGUCUGAUUUCAUAAAAUUGAUGAAAGGAUUCUUGGCAAUCCCAAAAAGAUAAAUAAAAAAGUAAAAAUAAAUGAAAUAGGAACACAGAAUUUAAAUUAUUCAAUCAAAUUAACCUAUGUCCAUGGGCAAAGGAAGAGCAAAAUUUCACUAUGAAAAAUAGAGUACAAAAGUUUUAGGAAAGUGUUUUUAGACCCAAAAGCAUCUAAUCCUAAAACACAAAAGAAACCAAAAUAUUUUUACUACAAAAAGACUUAAUGACUCAAAGACCCAAAUAGGCUACUAAAACUCUCUUGAUUUGGUGCAUUUAAUCUCAUUACAGGCUGACUCUAUUAAUAGCCAACUAAGAGAAAAAUUCCUUUAUACAAAAAUCGAUGUUGAUCGAAGUCACAUAUAACAGCUUUUAACAUAGAAUAACGAAACCAGGUACAUAGAAAACAAGGAAAGGAAGAACUCUUAAUGCCCUUGACAAGAAUUUAAAUAUAAAAGAAUAAAAGUUUAAACAUAUAUGGUUCUUGCUCUGUACAUCCUCGAGUACACCUAGGAACUUACCUUCCAUACUUAAAAUCAAGCCUAAAUAAUGACCUCUCUAUUACACAUCAUCAUUAUUUGAAAAGAUAAAUCCAUAGCUUAAAACUACAACUGUCAACACAGAGGACUAUAACAUCUUACACCAACAAAUAAUGUCAGCACAAUUGACAUCAUAUUGACUAAAAUAAUAUAUAUUCAAUCUUCACAUGACAUAUAAACCAAAAUUUUGGAAGUUUCCAGUUGCAUAGUCUAAAUGACACUAGUGACCUAUAGUUUACUUGACAUAAGAAAUUUAUGGUCAUUGUAAGUAACAUUAAUCAUGGUCUUUCAAUUUGGGAUCCUUCCUAUGCUUAUUAGUAAGCACUUAAAAUCUUAGCAUGAAACUACUCAACUAUAGAAGCUAUUACAUCUCAAGAUGUCUCUUUCCAUCUUCUUGCAACAUUUGUACAUAUGCUGACAACCAAUAUUAAAUUCAUCCGGUUAAAAUCAUCUUAGCUGAACUCUACUUCAACAUAACUAAUUUUAACUUCGUCCUCUUAAGGGCUUCUAUGAACAUACAUUGACAUCAACAAAUCAGGAUUUCUAGUCUUCAUUUGUUUAAUCAAUGAACAUGCUGGGUUUCAUAACUUUGGUUGAAACGAGUAGCUAGAACUCAAGUUCGAACUCAGUCAAUGUUAAGUCGAGCUAAGCAUUUGACCCUCGGUUUGAUAGGACCGCUAUGUGCGAGUGUUUGAACCAACCCAACUGGGCUAAAUGAGGAGAAAUUCAUUUCUAGACCAAAUGUAUACACUGUUACAAUUCCUCUAGAUUUUAAAUUACUUGUGUUAAGGGUUUGAACCCCUAAUUGGUGACGAAUUUCUAAGAAUAUUACUAAAAUAAAAAACUAUCAUAAAAUUGGGGGUAUUCGGGAGGGGGUUCUUAUUUUAGGGUCGCCGCAAUUUAGGUACGCGGCUACCAAUAAAAUUAGAAUUAAUUUGCAUUUAUUUUUGGUUGCUGUAGUUUUGUAUAAUUUCUCCGGGUUUUUUUUUCCCAAACUUGAGCGGCGAAAGACUUGCCAACACCGACAAGGCUGACAACGACUUGACAGUACGGCAAGACUACAGCUAAUACGGACAAAUUAGGAGGCAUUCAGUUUUUUUUUAAUAGUUUAAAAAGCUGACGUCAUUUGCGUUAGCUUUUUGACUUUUCCUCAACGCCGCAAACGUCAAAAUUUUUUUAAAUUGACGCUGCAAAUUUGAUCAAAAUUUUUUAAAGUGAAAAGGCAAUUAUUGAUUGCCGCCAAAAUUAAUUUUUUUAACUGAAAAAAGAAUUUUUUUUAAAGUAAAACCGCAAAUCCUGAUUGCGGCGAUAGUUUUGACACCGUCAAUCCCACCUACCCAACGUAACCAACAGUUGUCAUUGACUCUCUUAUUAUUUCUUUAUAAAAAAAGGCAACGGCCAUGCACUAUUUUUUUAAAAAAAAACUAAUACAGCAAUUUGAAUUUUCGGCGUUAGUUUUUCCAUCAUCCAUCCCUCUAGAUUUACAAAUCAAAGUUCAGGAUUUAGUCAAAAAAAAUUUGUAGUUAAAGUAGCAGUACUACAAUUAUUUGUUAUAUUGCCAACAAUAACUAUUCGUGCCUCAUCUUCACGGACAAUCCCAACUAUUUUCUCUUCUCUAUAUAUUCACUUGAGAAAACCCACUUCCUUUACGACCUUUCUCUUUCUAGUGUGGUUCUCAUCUUCUUCUUCAUCUUCUCUACAUAUUUCUCCUAAAUUUUCGAGGGUAGCUGAUCGAUUAAGACGACUUGAAUCGAGGAAAGCAAUAUUACAAUUUGAGCGGUGGAUCGAAAAGAAAUUUUGUAAAGAAACGAUAUUAUCCUUGACAAGGUUAGUUUAUUUAAUAAUUUUGUUAAUAAUAAUUUUAUAAUAUUUGCAGUUAUGUUAAGUUCUAGAUAUUAUGCUGCUUUACAUUUAUUUAAUUUUUGAAUGAGUUGUUUAUUUAUGGUUUGCAGUAGUCUUUUAUUUAUGAUUUAUUUAUGGUUAGCAGUAGUCUUUUAGGCGAAUUAAUAAUGAAUACUAAUAGUAAGAUAUACUAUUAAAUGAUUAUUUGUUGACAUUAAUGGUUAGAUGAAUAAAAGGUGAUAGUUUUUAAGAUUUAAUAGUCACUGAUAGGCGAAUUAAUAUUUACAUUUAUUAAGAUUAUUUAAUAGUCAGAUGAUAAGGUUAGUCUUUUAUAGUUAUUGAAGAAGUUUUUUAAAAAUUAUUUGUUGAUGGAUUUUAGAAUUAAUUUUAUAGAGGCAGUAGUCUUUUAGGCGAAUGAUGAAUAAAAGAUAAAUAAUGGUACAUGGUAAAUAGUAAAUAGUAAAUAAUAAAUAGUAAAUAGUAAAUAGUGAGUGGUUAAAAUUAUAUAGUAAAAAUAACAAUAAUACAAUAUGAGAUAGUGAGAUAGUAACUAAUACAUUAAUAAUACCAGUACUAUUAAUCUAUAGUUUAGUAAUAUUAAUAUGAAUAAUAAAUAGUAAGUAAUACUAAUAGUUCUAAAAAUAUAAGUUACAAUAAUACAAUCAUAGUUUAAUAGUAAUUAUGAUUAAUUAAAGAAGAACCAUUACUCUAAUAGUUUGAAUAAUACUAUUUGUUUGAUAAAUCUAUUUUUAUUUAUUCAUUUGAUAUUGAUAAUUAUUUUAUUAGUGGUGCUACUACCAAUGAAAACGUUUAUUGCGUUAAUAUUAGUAAUUAUGAUAAGUUGUUAAAAGAAAUAAGUUGACAUAAAAAUAUUUGUAAGAUUAGGAAAAAAUAUCGAUGGACCUUGCAUUGGUGUUUCAAUUUUAUUGGGGAGGCAGAAUAAACGAGACCGGAGAAUCAUUCGCAUAUGAACCUCCACGGUGUAAAAAAGCCGUUUUAGUGAAACAUCGAAUAAGUUAUGAUGAAUUGGUGGAAAAAGUGUACACCUACAUGCAAUUAGAUCGGAAUGUUUGCAAGUUGAAUCUAUAGUUUAGAAAUGCUGUUGGCCAAGACAUAUUUGCUGGAGUGCAAUUGAAAUUUGAAGAUGAUAUUGACACGUUAUAUCAUAUGAAGUCAAUGUCACCACACACGACAUGUGAGAUAUAUGUAGAAUUAGAACUACGAACCCGUCAUAUUCACAGUGACCAUGAUGGCGGACAAACAUCAUUAGUCGAGAAUGAUUUUGAAAAGGAGUCAAACAGUAUGUUUCAUACUGAGGUAACUGAAAGUACAAGGAUGGUAAAUCGUUCUUUUGAUGAAUUGCCUCAAAUGGAAAUUUUCAAUCCGACAAUCCUAUCAAGCAUACCUGAGAGAGAAGGUGUUAAUGUUGAUCAAGACACGGAACCAGAACCCGAUGGUGAUGAUUCAGACAAUGAUGAGCAGGAUCAAAUCGAUGAAGAAUCUGGCAAUCUGCCGGUUCAAUUGGCUGCCGGUCCAUCGAUCUCAUAUCAUAUACCAGUCCAUCUAAAUGACCUUGAAGGUGUGGAAGCCUCACUGAAUUUUGAUACUUUUAAGAAGAUAGUUUCAGAGGAGUACAAUGUGUGGGAUGAGUGGACAAAGGAGCUUAGAUUGGGAAUGAUUUUUGAAACAAAGAACGACGUACAGCGAGCUGUCAAACUCUGGUCGAUCAAGCACAACAGGGAGUACAAAGUGUGAGAAAGUAAACCGACCACUUGGUAUGUCCGCUGCAAGUCCUAUAGUGUUUCGCUUCCAUGUAAUUGGUAGCUAAGAGCCACUCUAAGAUGCACACAUAACAUGUGAAAAAUUGUAACAUUUGUGAAAGAAUACAUGUGUAUGCGAGUUUCGAAUUCCAAUGACCACCGACAGUUAAGUUUGGAACUCAUAGCCGAGUACGUAAUACACCACGUCCAGAAUGGUCCACUGUAUGCCAUCAAAGAAAUACAAAUGAGCAUUAAACGUGCUUUUGAUAUGGAUGUUUCAUACAAAAAAGCAUGGUAUGCUAAGCAACGUGCGAUUGAUAUUGUGUAUGAUGAUUGGCCAACUUCUAUAGCUGCGCUCCUUAUGUACAUGCAGGAAUUGGUGAAAGCCAAUUUCGGAACAGUUGUCGAGUGGGAGCACCAUCCGCAAAGCAGUGCUAGAUGCAGAAUCUUUCAUUAUGUGUUUUGGACAUUUGGGCCGGUGAUCGACUCAUUUCGACACCUUAAACCAGUUAUUUGUAUUGACGGCAUAUUUAUGAAGGGCACAUACAAAGCAAAAUUAUUAGUUGUUGUUGGUUUUGAUGCUUCCAAUCAGCGGUGGCCGAUUGCAAUCGCACUUGUAGACGAGGAGAUAAAUCGGAGUUGGACAUGGUUCAUGUCACAUUUGCGACGUCAUGUGUGCCGUGAGGUGAAAAAUAUAUGCGUUAUUUCGAAUAGGUACAAGAGCAUAACACACGCUAUGAAUACUUUGCUGGAGUGGAAAGAAUCGAUGGCUGUGCACCGAUACUGUUUAGUACACGUGCAGAGCAACUUUGCCCAAAAAUUUUGAAAUCAAAGGUAUAUAUUUUUUAAUAUUAGAUUAGGAAUACAUAGUAUGAAUACCCACUAAAUAUAAGUUUAAUCGUUGGUCAAUUAUCAUUGUCCAAAUUGAAUGAUCUUAUGUGGGCUGCCGGAGCAGCAAAUCAAGCCAAAAAAUACGAAACAUUUAUGGAACAAAUAUAGGUGUUAAACGAAGAGGUGUAUAAAUGGUUGAAUGGCAGUUCGGUCAAACCGGAACAAUGGACAUUAUGCAAGGAUAGGGAAUAUCGGUGGGGCUACAUAUCGAAGAACAUAGCUGAGUGCUUCAACAAUGUAUUGCACAAUGCUCGAUUAUUACUAAUAACAGCAUGCGUACAGUUCACUUUUAAUCAAGCCGUUGAGCUCUUUACGUCGAAGCGAAAAUUGGCUUUCAACACGACGUAUGUUUUUUCUAAAGAAAUAUGGAAGCCAUUCUUAAAAAAUGAAUUAAAGGCAAGGACACACUCAAUCCAAGUAUAUGACCAUAGAGGCGGAAUAUAUUGCGUUACUACUGGUUGACGCGAUAAUGGAAAGGGUGGCAAUGUGCAAAUUGUCAAGUUCGGGAAUAACACAUGUACGUGUGGCAAGUGGGCUGAACUUAGAUUCCCAUGGUCACACGUAUUUGCAGCUUGUUAUAGGUCGGGUACAAAUCUGUACCAUCUGGUAGGUCACGUGCACACAUUUUCAUCCUGGCAAUCUUCACUUCAAGGACAGUUUCAAUUUUUGUCGGAUUCGGCUUAUUGGAUCCCUUCGGAGUUGUGACUUAACUGUGAUGUAGGAAGAAUUAAACAAAAGAGACCCGACCCUAAAGCCAUUGCUAGAAUACAUAACCAAAUAGAUCGUCGAUGUUCCGAUGCGUCUCAUCAUUAUAGUCACUGUUCACAGACAAGCCACAAAGCCUCCAAUUGCCCUUAUUCUAGUCAUUUUCAUGUGUAAAAGCAUGAACGGGAUGAAAAAUUAGCUAAAGGUUGUGUAGUCAUUGAUUGUGUGUUAUGUUAGUUAUUUGGUCGAUUUUUUGACUGUAUGUCUAUUGCUGACGUACAAUUUAAUAAAAUUGGGACUGUAUGUAUGCUAUUAAUAAAUAUUUGAUUGUGGAGAUUAUCCUAAACAUGUCACAUUGGCCUAGACAGACUCCAAAUCCUAUACAGGGUUCACACGAAGAUGGCGUAUUAUAUUUGCAGGAUACACAUCGAUCGAAAAUCGUGUUUUUAGGGCAAGAGAGUCAGCUCGAUAUAAAAUGAGCCGACAAUUUUUUUUAGGAUCUGAUACGAAAUCAGCUGAAUUCUAGGAUAGCAAACUACCUUCGUGUAAUAGGUUUUUGGGGGAUCGUACAGGUAGGUUAUUUUGAAAUUGAUCAUGGAUUGAUUACAUCGCUUAUUGAGCGAUGAAGGCAGGAGACCCACACAUUUCAUCUUCCCGUGGGUGAGGCCACAGUCACUUUACAGGACGUGGAGGUAUUAUGGGGUCUACGUGUUGACGGAUUAUCAGUGACACUUGUUGAUCGAAAUAGUAAUAUUGCACGCAAGAAACAAUUAAUCAAGGAGCUUCUAGGUUUUAGACCUGAGACGCGACACUUAAGGAUGAGAGGUUGAAACUUGUUCCAAUAUUUGACUUUUUGUACGAGCCUCCUCCAGAUGAUGCACCGGAGGAAUUAGUUCGACAACAUGUUUGAUGCUACAUUUUGAUCUUAUUUGUUGGACAAUUAUAUGCCUACACGUGUGGAAAUGUUGUAAGUUGCCACUGGUUGGAUUACUUACGAGACCUAGAGGCUUUGAGUAAUUUCAGUUGGGGCAAUGCUACACUUGCAUGUUUAUAUUCCCGUCUGUGUAAAGCGUCUUACGCAACGACAAGCUGCACAGCUGGCCCGAACAUGCUUUUGCAGGUAUUGGAUGCAUAAUUUUGGAAUCAUUGCACGUCCAUAUUUCAUUUAAAUGCAAUAGUGAUUUAACGUAAACAAUUCGUAUUUUUUACAGUUAUGGACUUGGGAGAGAAUGCCCAGGAUUCGUCCGACCGUAUUGUUUCCUGCUGUACAGGGCGAUAAUUUUUCCAGAGGUGGUCGCUGGGCAGGAGAACGUACGACUAGAUACGUGCCAUCGCAUGUCGUCUCAUUAUUUCGUGAUGCACUCACCAAGAUGGGAGCCGACGAGGUACUCAAACUAAUAUACAAUUUUGAUAAAAAAAACUCUCAAUAUGUAUUUAUAAUCGCACUUAGUUGAACAAAUUUAUUGUCAUAGUUUAUCUGGGAGCUGUAUUCUACCAACCUUAUUGCACAGCUCCUCGCUUAUUAUUUAGCCGAACAACACAUAUGGCGGUCAGUAGUUCCGUUGAUAUAUUGGGAGGUUGUGGAAUUUCACCUCCCGCAACGGGUACUAAGACAAUUUGGGUUAUUUCAACUGAUACCUGCCUCCGUUGACACAGACACAGAUAAGAAAUUACAUUCUUUAAGUCGCUCAGGGCGUUCCGGAAAGGAUUGGAUCCUGUACCAUAGUCAUUGGGUGCAAUACUGGGAACAUCGUGCUCAAUUGAUUGUUGGUGGAUAUCGCAGCGAUCCAUUAAUGACUUUAUAUGAGUAUAUUGUAUGGUACCAGAAUAUUACUGCUCGCUAUAUAGCACCUCCUGUUUCAUGGCAAGCAGUAGAUGAUGCUCAUCGGCCAGAAAGGGGACAGUUCGACUACUUGGUAAAUUAUUAAACACUUUCCCUUUUUAUGUAAUCAAAUCCCAUUACAUGUUUAUUUAUUAACAUAUAAUAUGAUUACAAUAUACAAAUUUCUCUUUUUUUAGGUUGAUUCGAUGUCUCGGAUCGGUUCGAUCUAUGGGAUGUAUCUCGAUCCCGCAAAUCCAACGCAGAGUGCUCAUCCGGGACUAACAACUAUUCGUGAGGAGGCAUUUGGGGCAUUACAAUACCUGAAUCUAGGACAUAAAACGGUAGCUAGCCCAUUUGACCGUCAAGAUAUUGGUCAAUCUGCCUCUUCUGCUGCCCCUUUUCAGAUGCCUGUCGAGCAUCUACCUAGGGAAGUCCGUGGUAGGAAACAAGCAGUUAGACGUCGCAGAGGGAGCACCUCCACGCAUGCUGUUGAUGUGCCGGACGAAGAUAUAAUGCAAAUUUCAUCACUAUUCGGUUACGAUCCACCUAUUGGCAUACACUUUUCUCAUAAUGAAACUUUCUUCACACCUCCUACUAUGCCAGCUUUCGGAGGUCAUUUCAGUGAUACACCUACUCCCAUACCCGUAUUUGACUAUACGUCUGCUGCUGCACCAGCGUCUACAAUGCUUGCUACAACGAUGUGUCCAGAAAUUAAGUUUCAAGAUAAUCUUGACCAAAUGUACCGCUUCCUAGAGACCUCGGUUGGUUUCUCACCUGCUUUGCAUAUGGACGACGACAGUGUUCCCAUUAGUGCUUCUUUUCAAGCACCUAUACAUGGCUCUUGUCCUAGAUGCGGUCAAACUCCGGUAUUCAAUCCCUCCGUUGAUGAUGACGAUGAUCAAAUAUCUGAACAAAUUCAUGCAAUUUCUCAGAGGUUUGAACGAUUACAAUUGGGACGAGAUCUACCACAUGAGAGAAUUCAUUGGAAAUGUGGCUGUUCUACCACUCCGCGAGAUAAGGGCAAGAGGCGCGUUGAUGGGUGAUUUAAAAAAUAUUAUUUUUCAAAUUUUUCUUAUCGAAACUCUCAUUUUAUUAUCAAUUAAGUUUAUAUGCUAAUUAUUACAUUCUAUAAAUAUUGUUUAAUGUUGCAUUAUUUAUCAUUAUUCAAAUUAGCAUUAACAUUAAAAAUUUUAAAAAUAUGACUUAGGUAAAUUUUAGAGUGUUUUUAAUAGCAUACUAAUUAUUUAAACCCUAAACUCUAAUUAAGCCUAAUUUAUUAUUAUUUAAGUUUAUAUACUAAUUAUUACAUUCUAUAAAUAUUAUAUUAUUUAUCAUUAUUGCGAUAAUAAUAUUAUAAAAUUUAAAAAAUAUGACUUAGGCAAAUUUUAUUAGUAAUUUAAUAGCAUACUUGAUUAUCAUCUUAAUUUAUAAAUUUAACAUUAUUCUAAUAUGAUAUUUUAAAUUUUUGAUAAUUUUGGUUUACAAUAGAAUUUUAGUAAUACGAUUUAAGAAUUUUAAUUUUAAAAUUAGGGUUAAAGGGUUACACUGUAAUUUGAAAAUUAGUAUUUCAUGUAAAACAUAAAACCCUAAUUACGCCUAAUUAAGGUUACUUUUUACAGGAGAAAAAAACUUGGUCACGCUGCCUUUUAUUAAAUAUUAAAUAACUUAUUAAAAAUUAAAUAUUAAAUAAUAAAAGGUAGGAAGAAUGCUUCAAUAAAAAAAAAAGCAAGAAUGCAUCGCCGCUCAUGAGCGGAAACACAUAAAAACAAAAACCUUCGCCGCUCAUGAGUUGAGCGGUGAUCAAAAUUCCUUCACAGCUUAUUUCAUGAGCGGCAAAGCGUUUUUAAAAAAAAAAAUUAAACCAAGCAAAAAUAAAUGAAAACUAAAAGUCUUUUUAUUAGUAGCCUCACGUCUCAAUUGCGACGACCCCUUAUUCCGAAACACUCCCGACAUAACACCAAUUUUCUGAACAUUUUCAAUUUUGACAAUAUUCCUAGAAAUUCAACCUAGUUGGUUCAUUUUAAUAUGUAAAUAUUUGAUAGUACAAAAGUAAACACAAACACUUUUCGAGCUUUUCCCACUGUCAGCACUUGAAUCUUGAAUCUGACAACAGGGGAUGGGGAGGGAUGAAAGGUUUAAAAAAAAAGGGUUAAUUCCACUUUGUCCCCCCAAACUUUGGAUGAUUAUCCACUUAAAUCCCUAAACUUUAAAAUGGGACACUUAAGUCCCUAAACUUAUAAAUACCUCCCACUUAAGUCCCUGAACUUAUAAAAUGAGACACUUUAAUCCCUAAACCCUCAUAAAAUGGGACACUUCGACCACCAACGGCAUUCAGGAUUUGUUAACAAUUUUCCUUAAGUGGGAGGUAUUUAUAAGUUUAGGGACUUAAGUGUCCCAUUUUGAAGUUUAGGGACUUAAGUGGAUAAUCGUCCAAAGUUUGGGGGGACAAAGUGGAAUUAACCCAAAAAAAAAUUCAAAUAGCAACCUAAUGGCAAUUUGGGAAAAAAAACUUUACCGACCAUUAGACCAAUUUUCUCAAAAUGAGGGUUUAAAGUGCUAUAUUGGAAGACCUUCAGCCCUCCCAGGACAAAUGAAUAUGCCCAGGGUCAUGGAGCCUGGAUUCUGAGUUUCUGAACAAGGAGAAAAAUAGAUUUCAAUUCUCUGAGGAAAAACCAGAAAAGGUAAAGAAUCAAGGAAGAAGGAAUGGAUGAAGAAGAAGGAGGAGGAAUAAGGUUAAGCAAGAGAUUUUCAGACAAAGGAGGAGAGGUUGAUUACAAAACCAAAGCAGGCACCGCUUGGUCUCAUUCUUACCUCAAUCAGAAGCCAUGGCACCCUCUUUCUUACCCUAAUCAACGCCGCAAGUGGAUCGCCGAGCAGACUCACGCCCAGCGAGAACGCCGCGCCGAAGAAGUUGCCCGCGAGGUACUUUUUUUUCCUUAAUUUUGUUUCAAUUGAUUUCUGAGGAACCAUUUUUGCUCCAUUUUUUUUGUUUAAUGAACGGAAAAGCCCAGUUAAGAUACAGAAAUCUUUGGUUUCUGUUUUUCUUUUUGGUUGGUUAUUAUUAUUGUUUCUUGUAUUCAGUAGAGGACAAAAGCCUAGUUGCAGUUAGAUAAGUUCAAUAGUUUCUUUGGUUGUGGAUUAUCUUGUGGAAUUUUCAGAUUAUGAACUACUAGUAGAAAGGGAAGAGCCCCAGUUACAUGGUGUAUUGAAUUUCGAGGAUUUUUUUGGUUGCAGAUUUUAUAUGCAGAAGCAGAAUAUGUAAGAAAAUAGUGCAUUUUUGGAAUCUAAACAGUUUUGCAAAUGUUGCAAAGGUUUUAUAUUGUGGAAAACCCUGAUUAUCAUGUGUUUCAGGAGUUUUGUAUUGCAUAUUUUAUAGGCAGGAGCAGAAUAUAAAGAAACUAUUAUAGUAUUGGAGUCUAUAAAUAGUUAUACAAAUUUUGGAAAGGUUGUACAUUCAGCAUAUUUCUCAUUUUAUACUUAAAUUGUAUCAUGGGCAUUGGCUCAUCCGUGAGGUACAUUUUGAGGUACUUAGGUGCUCGUACUAUGUUGCCUAUUUUUUAAGGAUAAAAGUAGAAUUUGAAACUAGACGAGACUGAACUAUGAUAAAGAUUCUAUGUAUAACAUAUACAGACAGUUAAAUAGAAAAAAAAAAUUUGAAUUGGUUGAAUUAUUGGCUAUGUCUUCCUAUCUUUUUGAAUUUUAGUUGGGUACCUGCGAAUUGCUCUAGACACUAAUUCCUAUAGUUAUUUUUAACUGUUUGAUUGUUGCUUCAUUUUAGCUAUGUGAUUCUGUUUAUUUUUUUCUGAUGUAAUAUAAUACCCUGUCUUAUUUUGAUUCAAUGUUUGUGCUUAUUGGUACUUUUGGUCAUGUGUUUUUUCAGUAUGCUCAGGAGCACGAAUUUUUCCGCCAGACAGCUCUCGUCUCCAAGAAGGAGAAAGAAAAGGUACUUUGCGUGCACUGUAUAACUCUGUAUUUUGUACACUUCAAUACAGUUAUAUUAUGUCUAUGGGCGUUCCCCAUUAGUGGAGAUACCAGGUCUAAUCAUGUGCUUAUAGAGCAUGCAAGGAAAGUGUUGAUUGUCUGACUGAAUGUGCAUAAACUAAGUAAGGUAAUUGAUGCAUGACUUGUGUUCUUGUAGAUGGAGACGAUGAAAGCUGUUAGCUUUAUGUAUGUCAGACCACCUGGUUACAAUGCAGAGAGUGCUAAAGCUGCAGACAUGGCUGAUGAGAGGAAGAAGCAAGAGCAGGAGCAAAAUAACACUUCCCAAGGACCAUUUGAACACGGUGCUUCCACGUCGAUGUAAAUGCUUAGUUUUUAAAUUCUGGUUUCUCUAUUUCUAAGUGUGUAUGGCUGCUUAAUUAUGAUGUCUGUGUGUGCAUGGAUUAUGAAAGCUAAAAUACACUGGGCUUUGAUGUAGGAAGCACGAAUCUUUGCCUUCUAGUGAGGAGAAAAAGAAGCCCAGGCCAAAGGAUGUCUUUGGUCGUGCCUUGCCAACAGAAGAACAAUUUGAAGUCCUUAAGCAUGCUCCAAGGUCCGCAUGUUCUGCUCUUAUUUUGUUCUUGGUGUACAAUAGUUUUUCAAAGCAGUAUUCUAUCUGAAUGACGUAUUUUUCUUUACAUUCUCAACAAGUAACUGUCUUCCUGAGUUGGAAAUUAUUGGUCCUGUCCAUAUAACCUGUUAAUAUCAAUAAAUUGCAUUUCAGAUAUUCUUGAACAUAUUAAUUCAUACAUACCAAGAAUUCUCCAUAGAGCAGUUUUGUGUGUUAGGUUUUAAGAAUAUUAGAAGGUACCCUGUGGCUUUUGUCUCCGUUGAUAAUACAUAACAAAAUUUGCAUAAAUGUGUUUUGGCAAUACUUUAUUGUAUAUCCUUCAUCAGUAAUGUGCACGAUUGUAUGUAUUCACUAUUCACAUUAUAAAUGCUAAUUUUGAUGAUCUUCUCCAGGCUAGAGACAGGUGUUGCUGGCAGGUCCAAACCAUUUGGAGUGGAGAUACGCAAUGUAAAAUGCUUAAGAUGUGGAAACUUUGGCCAUCAAAGUGGUGAUCGUGAAUGCCCAUUGAAAGAUGCUAUAAUGCCUAGUGAAGAGAAUAGAUUGAAAAGAGAUGAUCCUUUAACAGCUAUCCAGGCUCUGACAGAUGUGAAUGAGGUACAUAUUGAUUCUUCUUACACAUCUAGCUAGUUAUAUUCAUCUAUAGACUUCUUUAACUCAAAGUAAUUAAUUUUUCCUUGAUAAAUAUGUUGGCUUUUAAUUUAUAAUACUUUACUCAAUCUGUUAGUCUUUUUUCUCCCAAAUUUUAUAAUAGUGAAUGAUGGAAUUAUUUCCCAUUUACCUCUCUGUAGCUUCCUCAGAACUGCAAGAGAGAGAGGGGGGGGAGAGAGAGAGAGAGUUACUAGAUGUUCAAGUAUAUUUAAAACUUCAAUCUGUGUUUUGUCCUUUUGUCUCCUUUGGGAAAUCGAAAGGAAAGCCAAGCUCUGAUGGAAUUUAGAAGUCCAUGCAGUUGCUCAUGCUUUUCUUCCAAAUAUUUUUCAUUGGUACAUAUAAAGACUACAUAUAAAGAAGGUUAUUUUUGGUUGGUCUUUUGGCAAAGUUCUAUUAGAUGUGUAGAUACUCAUUUUUACUGGAUCUCGCUAUAGCAAUGCAGAGAGUAAAAUGAUUGUUGCCCUUUCAAAGAUAUGAAGGAAGGUCUCUGAAGUUAUCUUGUGAGCGUGAGGACUACGUAAUCAAUCAAACAUCACUUGAAAAUGGCUCUUCUGCUCAGAAACGAAAUGUUCCAACUUGUAGGCAAACUAUUAUAAUUAUUUUAUAGAUUUUUUAUUUUUAUUUUUUUAUGAAUUUAAGCUGAUUUACAUCUCCGUGUAAAAGCUGGGAUAUGUGGUAUGAUAAUUGUUAUUCCUGACAGUCUCAUAGUGAAAAUUGUAGUAAUUCUUUUAGGUAAUUUAUAAUUGAGAAUAGCCCCUGGUUUUGGCAAAUCGGACGUGCAUAUACUGUCUUCUUCUGUUCAACGCAUCAUGUCUGUGCAAAUGGCUAGUACUUUAUAUUUUUAAUAAAUGUUUUCCAAGUAUUAUUUACAUUCAGAUGGACUACUGGUCUAUAGUUGAGACAAUAGGGGUAAACAAGGAAAAGACAAUCUGGUUUCCCAAUGGGGAACUCGAACUCUUUGUUCUUUUAAGAUUUUUAAGAUUAAAGUGCAGAGCUCAGUGGAAUGACUUCCAAAAUUUUCUAAGAGGAGAUGGAUUGUGUGCCAAAGUGCACUGCAAAUUUACCCUUGAAACAAUAAAUUCAUUUUCUUUUCCUUGUUUAGAUUUUCUUUUCCCUCCACUGGGUUAGGGAGAAGGUGGUGGGGUCGCUAAAAGAGAGAAUAACUUUUGUGUGAUCCCAAGUUUUGGCCAUCUGGAUACUUUUAUCACAUAUUAAUUGCAAUCAGAUUAAAUAAUUACAGGUCCUUUGGCGUUGGAAGGGCAAAUAUUACUCUACUAUGUAGUAUAUAGGAAAGUUUCUUGGUAUAAAGUUGCAAUGUCUUCCCCAUUCCACCAUGUUCUUCUGCUGUUUCCAUUUGACAGUGUCUUCCUACAUCUGAAGCAAGUGAUCUGAUUUUUCGUAUAUUCUUUCUCCUGUCAUCUUUGCUCUUACCAGACUAUCAUUUAUCCACUGGUCGUGUCUGGAAAUUGCACAUCAAAACUACUUGGCAGUUAUACAAGUUAUUAUUUAUCUAUAAUUUUUUAUACUUGUUUGUUGUACUUCGAGAUGCACACUAUACAGUUUGCUUCUUUCAUUAGUUGCCUCAUUCUGCUGUAAAUUUGACUUUCAAGUUCAGUUGAUUCAGCAGCUAUAAGUAUUUGCUGGACAAGUAUUAAUCACUGAUUAUCACAAUCUCAAGGAAAGACAUGCAGUUUGGAUAUUGUAGAUUUAAGCCUUUAAACAAUUUUCUUCACUUGAUAUGCAGCCAUUUAAGUGGGAGCUGAAACAAAAGCCAGGAUUGAGUCCCGUUCGAGGUGGGUUUAGGGCUGAUGAUCCAAACCAACAAAUCGUUGCUGAGGACAUAUUUGAUGAGUACGGAGGUGAUAUUUUUGUUGCUUCUAUAAAGUUUUAAUUGAAUGAUUUAUUAGUUCUACUCAAGAGAUGUAAAUGUAGUCCGUCUUGAAUCAAAUCAUGCCAGGGUUUCUAAGUGGAGAUAACAUCCCUGACUUGCUGGCCAAUUUUUCAUCAAGCGAGCCAAAGAAAAAGUCAUCUAGUAAGAGGAAACAUAAAAGGCAGUUAUCACCUACUGAAGUAAGUGGUAGAGAAAAGUGGUCAUCUUCCAGUGAUGAUGGUGGCAGAAGAUUGGAGAAGAAGAGACACAAGAAGUCAUCAAGAAAGCAUUCUCACUCAAGUUUGGCAGUUAACUUAGAUUCCAACAUGCUUCAAAAGGGUAACAGAUCAUUGGCUGGUGGUGAUAGGGAUAGACAUUUGAAGAAGAAAAGAAGUGAUAGGAAAUCACAGAAGCAUUCAGUGUCAAGUUUGCAAGAAAACUCUGAUUCUGAUGUGCCAUAUGAUCAUCGAGAUAAUGGGUCAUCAUCUGGUGAUGAUAGGAAAAGGAGAUCAAAGCUGUCAUCAUCUUCUGGUGAUGAUCAUGGGAGGAGAUUGGAGAAGAAGAGACAUCAUAAGUCGCCAAGAAAGCAUUCUCGCUCAAGUUUGCCAGAUAAGUCAGACUUUGACAUGCCAUACAAUAACCGAAAUGACCAUAGGUCAUCAGCUGGUGGUGAUAGGAUUAGUAAAUUGAAGGACAGAAGACAUGAGAAGAAGUCAAGGGUGCACUCAGAGUCAAGUUUGCGAGAAAACUCAGAUUCUGGUGUGCCGUAUAAUCACCAAGACGAUGGGUCAUCAUCUGGUUAUGAUCGAAAAAGGAGAUCAAAAAAGAUACAUAAGAGGAAGUCACCAAAGCAUUCUUACUCAAGUCAAUCUGAGAUCUCUGACUAUGAUAGGCAUUGCAGGAGCAGUAGGCACAAGCAUUCUCAUCCAACCUCAUCUGAGAAUUUGGACUUUGAUGGGCAUUACAGAAAUCGUCGUCAUCGUCAUGGUUAUCGCCAUUAGAAUUGUGUCUUUUUUCUGGUUUGAUCUUUUGAAACCACCAACGAUCCUUCCAUGAAGCUGCACCAAACUAAUACAGUUAGACACACCCGAGAGGUAAUGAGCGUUCACUGCGUCAGACACUCUACACAGCAGCUUUUUGCAUUUAGAUCUAAAUUUGCCUCCUUUCUCUCAAUACAAAGCUGAAGAACAAAAAUGAUGGUGAAGCUGCAGCUAUAGGUGUUCAAGAUUUAUGGGGACCUGUUUUUGCUUAAAGCUGAUGUAAGAUGGAGUCAAAUGACCUUCGUGGUGAAAGGAGAAAUUCACUUCCCUGUUCAACACUCUUGUUCUUGGGGUUACUGAUACAAAAACAUCACUGCAAUUAUUCUUUGGUUUAAAGUUUAAAUGCAUAAUCUUGACUUCAGGCUCUCAUGUCGUUGCAGGGGGUUGAAAUAUUUGUAAAAUUUCCCUCCCUCAACCCAAGAGCUUUGGUGUAAAAAGACUGUCUAUUAGUCAGUUGAAUAUUCUAAACAGGCAAGUUUAAAAGCUUGGAAUCUUUCAGCACAAUUGGUUUGUUUCAAUACACUGGUAGAUCUAUGGCAUUAGAUGUUUUUUAAGUUACUCCAGACACUCCUGCUAUGUUGCAGCAAGGUGCCCAGUUAAGAGCUAGUCGAAAAGUCCACCUUGUGGACAAGACUUCCACGUCUAGGUUGCAAAAUUUGCAAUGAAUUAUCCUUUCUCUUAGCCUCAAUCAAUUUUCUGUCUCACGUAUUAGGUCCUCUAUGAAGACCGAGCCAAAAAUUUAGCAACAAAAGUGAGUAUAACUGGGAUGGUGAGCCAAAAAAAAAAAAGGAUAAAAUAGAAAAUUGAUUGAAGUAACGAAUAAGCUCACUUGGUUUUUAGUAGGGUUAAAUGCAAAAAACCCCACAAACUAUAUAACCAGUUGCAGUUUACCCCCUAAAUUAUAAUAAUAGGCAUUUUGUCCCCUUGAAUGAUAUGUUUGGACAACAUUACCCCUACUAUCUUAAAUCCUUUCUCUUUUUUUUCUCUAUUAGCUUUUUUCAUUUUUUUCCUUUUAUUUUCUUUUUGUUCUCCUUCUCUCAUGGAACUAGCCAACGUCUUUCUCUGAUGUGAAAAGACUUACAUCAAAAAUUUUAAUAUUUUUAAACUGCUUUUUUAAUUUGUUUAUUUGUUAAAUUCAUUCUUAAUAAUUUGUCAUAAACUCUUUGUUAUUACAAAAUAUAUGUAACUUAUAUUAUAAAGUGUAUUAAUCUAGUAAUUCAACAAUUUAAGUACCUAUAAACUAAUUAAGAGUUCACAGUUACUCAACUACUUAUAAUAAAAGUAACAUAUUAUAUAUCACAUAAAAAAGAAAAGUUAGCAAUUGUUAUUUGUAGUGAAAUAAAAAAUAAGAAUAAAAAACAAUAGUAGUUCAUUUUUUUUGUUAUUGAUACUACUAAUAAUUGAUUAAUCAAUUUCUCUAUUUUGUUAUUAUAUAUUUGAAAAGUUCAAUUUCUUAAAUGACAUUGAUUUCAACAUUUGGAAAAAAAAUUUUGUAUUCCAUAGAUUUUUUUUUUAAAAAUAUUGACAUACGAAAUUAAGAAAUAAACAAAUUUUGACUAAUCUAGUCUACUUAUUUAAACAAUGUUUAAAGGAAAAAAAGGGAAGAAUUUAAAAAGAAAAUGAUAGGGAAAAAGAAAAAUAACAAUGCUUAAAAUAAAAGGGGUAGAUUUGUCCAAACAUAUCAUUCAAAGGGGCAAAAUACCUAUUAUUAUAGUUUAGGGGGUAAACUGCAACUGGGUAUAUAGUUUGUGGGGGUUUUUUGCAUUUAACCCUUUUUAGUAUGCAGCGAUAAAUUCUUCCACUAAUUUAAGUAAAGGCUGAAGAGGUCCAAAUUGCCUACAUCAAAUUUCACUCACUCAAGCAAAUUUCACUCACUCACCAAACAUAUCUGGCAGAUUGCCCCAAUCCAGUGGGACGGUAUGCAAGAGCAUCAUGGCUGUUUCAAAAGAUGGUGGAUCUCCGUCAUCGAGGCAAGGCAUAGGACAGCAGGAUCGCAACAUUUGGCCUUAACUGUCAACAUUCUUUGGCAGAUUUGGAAGGCUAGAAAUGACAUGGAAUUUAAGGGGAAAGCUCAUCAGCCCUGGAAGAUUAUAAAGAAAGCACAGGAGGAAUGGAUAGAAUUCGAUGAAGUAGCAAAGAAGGAAGCUAGGAUGAGCACAGGAGAAACAUCAACUCACAACAAUGAAGACCAGCAAUUAGAGCCGGAAGAGGGAACUGUGGAAAUGAGAGUUGCCGCAACAAGACAGACAGACAAACCUAUCUUAGGCAUUGGAAUCACUUCAGCUGAAAGGAACCAAGAACCAAUGAUAGGAUGGGCGCUAAGGGAAAGAAGCUCAGGGGUACAGCUUCUGGACGAUGCAGUAGCAUUAAAGCUGGCUAUGUGCAAAGCAAUUACAUUGCACCAAAGGAAAGUACAAUUCCAAGUGAAGAAUAUGCAACUCCUCAAUCAUAUUCGAACUCAGAAGGCAAGUGACAGCAGAAUAGCUACGCUGGUGGAAGACAUUGUACUUUUGAAAGGGUUGUUUCAUAUGUGCUCCUUUUGUCUAGCUAAUAGUGAUAAAAAUUAUCUAAGCUCUAGUAUCAGCAUAUAUGCCUUAGGCAUCACAAUUGAUGAGGAAUUGGUGUUUCCUCAGUGUUAAGCACACUGGUUGUAAAGUCAAUUCGAGCCUUUGCUCGCUCUUGUAUAUCUUUUGAAAGUAAUAUAAUCAAAUAUCGUUUUGGAAAAAAAAGCAAGAAGCCGUUUAGAAAUUAUCGUUUCGAAAAAAAAAAAAAAAAGCAAGAAGCCGUUUAGGGAAGCAAAACUUCCACCCCACAUGGUAAUAAUUUUUCAAGCGGUGGUUUUUACAUUUUGAAUUGGAUAUGAUGCUAUCUGGACCAAAAUUUAAGGGUAUCUAUAAUUGUCAAUGAGAAUUACACCGUGUAAUAUAGUCCAAUAAAUGUAAGCAUUAAGACAAUAACAUGAGAAAAUACAAAAUUAAAAAAAAAAAACUUUUUCACUUCAUGAAAUUUGUGCCCAAAACUCAAUCUCAAAUGUCUAAAUUUAGAUUUGUCUAUUUCUCACCAUGAGUUGUUCUCUGCAAAGAACCUGGAUCCGAUGCUAGCUAUGGUGCUGGAGGUCUUCUUCAUUUUCAUAUUAUUAAACUUUCUAACGUUUAUAAGCAAGAUAAUAUACUUAGUCGGAGGAUUAUGUGGUCUAACUAGAUUAAGGGAUUUUGCUAUUACCAAUUUCUUACGUUUAUAAGUAAGAUAAUAUACUUAAUCUUAGGAUUAUGUGAUCUAAUUAGAUUAAGGGAUUCUACUGUCACCAAUUUAAACUAUACGGUACAAUGUAAAUACUAACACAAUAAAUAUAGACACCAUUACAAGAUGUAAAAAACAUAACAAAUUUUUGACACAUUGAAAUAUGUGUCCUGCGUUUUUUUUUCUCUUCCAUCCAAUUUCACAACGCUCCAUCUACCACUCUCAUCUCAUUUGCAGAGGAUCUGAAUCCAAUCCGAACUCUAAAGGUCUGAGCGUAGCAUGAUGAAAAUGGGACUGGAAAUUAUUGAAUUCCAAUAUUUGCACAUAGUUGCAUCUAAUGAGGGGCAUUAUUUGCACACAAAUAAGGAUUUAAGUGCUUCUUCCAGGAAAAAACUAUUUAUAUAGGAAACGAGGUGAGGAAAACUAGGAAGUUCUUACACCAAAACCGAAUUCGAUUUGAAGUUUUUGGAUUCAACCCAUUACAAUCAGGAAAAGAAACUAAUGAAUUUGUGACACGUGGGGGCCGGUCCUAUUUGUUAAUAAGACUUUGUAAUUUUGUCAACAAAUCUAACAUUACCACCUGGCAUGCUUAAACAAAAAUAGCUAGUAUUUUUGCCCGAAUCCACUUACAAAGAACGACUAAUAUAUUUUUAAAUGAUAAAUACAAAUCUUAAAAUCUUAAAAUUAGGAAAAUGGACCAUUUUUAGUAUACGAUUUUCCUUCUCACACCCUAAAGUAAUUUGCCUUUGAUGGGACAUAACCAAACCAAAAUCCUAAAGCCACAAAAUUAUGAAAGAUUGGGCUCUUGAUUUUGAAAAAGGGUAAAUUUCGAUGACUUCUUUUUUUGCAAAAGAUCUUCUAUCCCAUUUUCUAUACAAUGUUCUAUCCCAACAUCUAUUAAAUCAUCAUAUAUCCUUCAUGAACAUCCCAUUUUAAUUCUUUUUUUCCCUUGGAGUUCCAGCAAAUUACUUAUAGGGUAGAAUACAAAAUAGAAGAUAUAAAAGACAAAAUUGAAUAACAUUCUAAAUUGACACAAAUGGUUUGACUUUUUUCAUAAAGAAAGUUUUAUUUUAUAAUUUUGUUUCGCAUUUAAUAGUUGAUAUGUAAUAAAGAAGAGUCGACAAUGAUCAAUUGCUGUAAAAGAUAAAGCAUAACUAUUUAUGUAGAACCCAUAUCAACCUUAAAUAUUCCUAAACUCAUCUACAAUCUCAUAUCAACCUUAAAUAUUUCUAAACUCAUAUCAACCUUAGAUAUUCCUAAACUCCAAUUUCAUGAUUGCCACCUUUCUAAUACAAAAUAGCCUAAGUCAUCACCACUAAUACUAACACCCAAUACACUCCAUUAGUACAAAGUUCAAAAUCAGUCAAAUUUUCUCUCUGUAUAGGACCAUCACCAAUAACUGCAAAUAAAAAAUAGAAACACAAUGUAAUUAUGAUAUACUAGGAACAUAUUUUUUCCAUAACAACCAUAAUAGUAUAAGUUUUAUUUAGUCUCUCAUCCAUUUUUCACCCUUAAUUUUUUUUAAUCACUACCAGUAUCUUCAUUUCUUCUUCUCCUUCUAGUUUGACAACUAAAUCGUCACUUAACUUCUUGUUUGACAAUUUCAAUUUGCUAAUACCUGCAAAAAAUUGAAACCAAAAAUGACCACAAAAAAGCUCUUUAUUAGUAUUGAAAGAGAGUGAAUUGGAAUUAGACACCAUAAUGGGUAAGUAUUGGUGGUUGGUACGCAUGGUGGUUUUGUUAGUAGUGGCAAUAUACAUUUGAUCAAUGGGAAUAAAUAAAUAAGUUUGAAAGAAAAGAAGAUGUAGGAGGGAGAAGAUAGAGAGUUAAAUAUGAAAAACUCUAGUUUGAGUCAUUGGUUGAUAAUAGAUGAGAGAAAACUAAUUUUUGGUAGAGUUAUUUGAUGAGUUGACAAUUAAAUGAAGGGCAUUUGUUGUCUUUUUAUUACACCUAGGGAAGUCCUCAUAAUUAUGUAAACUUCAGGGAAGCCGAGUGAAAUUGCUAGGAACUUCAAGGGAGGUUUUUGAAAUUAUCUCAUUGUAAAAAAGGAACAAAAUCAAGUUUAUAAAGUUGAUCUUUAGGGGAACUAAAUCAUCAUAUUAUUGCUUCCGGUUACGUUUGGAUUGAAAACCAAUGGUAGGAAAAGAAAUACAACUCCACGUUACAAAGAAAACACUAUUAAUCUGAUUUAGAGUAUAGGCCAGAUCAACUAUAUCGAUUAUUCAUUAGAUUGACUGGUGAUUAGUGAAUGUGCAUUAAAAAAAAAAUAGUAUACAUUUCUUUACAUGCAAUCAUGUAGAUUUCUUCAUAUGUGUCCAUAACAAUAUCAUUAGUGGUACUUACCUAAUAAAAAAAAUUAUGAGUGAUAUUUCCAAUUGCCGAUUACUGAAAAAUUUAAAAAAAAAAAAUCCAAUUGCUGGUUUCUGUCCUAGACUCCGAGGUUUAUUAUUCUUUCGCGCUGCGCGUGGAUGUAUAUAACUCAAUAUCUUGUAGUUGGAAAAAGAUUGAGUACAAGGAAGUCUUUUACAUCUAUUUUUCCUAGAUUUUAUUCCUCAUCGUUGCCUUGUAUUCUACUCCAGCUCAUUUUCGGUAACCACAAAGUUAAAGCAAUUAGUUAUAUCUCCCGUGGCAGAAUCUUUAAUUAAUUCAUGAUUCGAGAAAUAUUAAAGAAGUGAUUUAAUGUGAUUAUUUACCGAUUGCAGUGGCUAUUCUGUGUACUUUGGUUAGAAAAUGACUUAACAACGUGAAAUUGCUUAUGAACUCCAAACCCCUUAAUUCCCUUCAUUUGUUAUUAAUUAGAUGCACUCAACAAGGAGGGAAAAAAAAAGGAUGCUUCACCUAUCAUCUAUAGGUCCCGGAUGCAAGUCAUCAAUGUGGUGGUGGAGUCCCACUUUUGAUACUCUUUUUGAAUGAGAAAAAAAAAAGAAGAAAAAAAUGCACUCAAUACAAUUAAUAAUGGCUAAAGAGUAAAUUAUUGAGUUUUACAUUAAAAAAAAUGCUGACAUUUACCAUUUAAUUUCCUUGUUAACGUUAGAUAUUAUAAGUAAAUUAAUUGUUAGACAAAAGUUAAACUUAUUAGUUUGAUUCCAUACCCAAAAAAAAAAAAAAUGAAAAGAAGUUCUCAGAGCUUAUAUAUCUAGUUUUGCAAAGGUUACACAACCAUAUUGCUCCAAUUAUUGGCAGAUGAAGCUAAAAGGAAUCUUCAUUUUCUUGAUAACAACCUAAAGAUAUGGACACUCUCACUCAGUAGUGGAGUGAGGUCCCUAAGGUUCCUAUCACCACAUAAUAUGUAGUAAUAGUAGAUUUACAAUUAAAGGACUUCUAUGUUGAACAUUCCUUUUCCUAUGUUGUUUAAUACUUGCAAGUCAGAGUUGUGCUAUAAUGUGCCAUUAAUGAGUUUAAGAAUCUUGUGAAGCAUAAGAAUUACAAAUUUUUUUAAUUAUUUAGUGGGGCAACAUAGAUAAAAAGAGCAGAGAAAAUACAAUUUCAAAAAUUUUAGGGGACAAAGUAUAUAAGAAAGACAAUUUUGUGGAAUUGAGGGGGGCACAAAUAGGAAGCAAUUUUAAAAAAUUUUAAAACUUUCCAAGCCUGAAAAAUGUUGAACUAGCAAAUGCCGAGAGAGAGAGAGAGAGAGAGAGAGAGAGAGAGAGAGAGAGAGAGAGAGAAUGUCCGAUUAUUUAUCGCAUUUCACAAAAAUGGAGAAUAAGUUACUCUUACCAACUAUGAAUUUUUUCAGAUCAGAUAUCCAAACAUCAUUCUUCUAUAAGUAGUAAUGUCGAAUAUCAUAAUUCAGAGGUAUUGUUUUCUAUCAAUGAGAAAAAUAGAAAAGAAAUCAUUUUGUGGAUUCGAAAUUCAUAAUAACAAUUGGUAUUUGUUCCAAAAAAGUGAGUAACAACCUAGCAACAAAGACACCUACAGCCUAUUUCAAAUAGAAUCAUAAAAUGCCAACUUUUAUCCAGAAAUCGGAUUUAAAUAGACUUUCAAGAAUUUGUGAAGAAUUUUAGCACAAGAUUAAAUUAAAUUCCUCCUGUGAACAAAUUUAUUUUCCCUCCAAGGUUGUUCUUUUCUGAGCCUCAAUAUCUUCAUUAUCCAGCACUGGUUCCUGUUCUUGAUCCUCAAAUUUCGUUAAAGAUUGCUGCUUAUCAUUUUCAGGGAACACUUUGUACAGUCCCAAGUAAAGACACAUACCAAAAACUGUAACUCCAACUAAGUACCAGCUGAAAAAAAGGUUCACUAAUGAUUUGGCUUUUUCAAGGGCUUCAUGAUCAUGGCAUCUGACAACUUCAUGACCAUCUUCCCACUUCAGAAAACAGCCUUUGGGAAUAUAUUCUGGUGUCCACAGCAUGAUUCCCAUGACCAUAAACCAAGCUCCUUGGAAAAAGAUGAUAAGAGACCUUAUGAAACUAUUCAAGAAACUCUUGGGGUAAACUAUGCAUAAGAGGGUAGUGAGAAAUGAGACAAGUAUGACAAUUUGAAGAAGCCAGUGAUAUUGGCCUUCCAGACCAAUGUGAUCAGCAGGGUGGAGAUUAAAUAGGAGAAACUGCUGGCCAAAGGAAACGGCUCCAAGCAUUUGCGAAAGGCCAUAUUGAGCUGGGGGCUGAAUUUUGUCUAGGAUAAUGCAGAGAAGUGCAUAGAUAAAGAAAGUCAAGGAUAUAUUUGAGUGCUCAAAGCUAUGUUUUCAGAACCGGACCGGAUAGCGACUCGGCCGAGGUCAGGGGUCAGGGGUCAAUGGGUUCGACCGGGGGUCGAUAGGGGUCGAACCGGAUGACGUCAUAAAUUAAAAUUAUUUAAAAAUUAAAAUAUUAUAUAUAUAAUAUCUAAUAAUAUAUUGAUAUUAAUAAAGGUAUAUCCAUAUAUAUUUGAUGUUUCAAAUAUAUUUAACAAGAAAAUACAAAGAAAUUAGAACAAUCAAGUAGCAAUUUAUAUUAUUUAAUAAAUAUUAACAAGUUUAGAAUUAAAAUUAUGAAUUUAAUUGAAAAAUAACAUCAAAUUUUAGGACAAUAUUUAUAAAGUAUCAAAUAUUUGAGGUAUAUCAAUAAGUUUUAACAAUUUAGGGGGUCAAAACAUAAUAUUAAAAAGUUUGAAUUUUUUUAAAAAAAUUACUGUUGAACCGGAAAAACCGAUUUUUUCCUGAUCAAACCUGAUUUUUGACCGGAUUUUAAAUUUUCGGUUUUUUAAUGUGACUCGGACCGGCUACCUGACCGGUUCCCGGUUCGACCGGCCGGUCCGGUCCGAGUUUGAAAACAGAGGCUCAAAGCUGUGAAGAUGGUUUGAUGGAAUAGUGCCAUCCGGGGUCCAACGGUUGGUGCCUUUUUGGACCAAUGAAGAGAUCCAUGGAUAUUGAGGCAAUGCAGCCUCCCAUGAUGAAGAAAAGUUCCAAGUACCUGAUUUUUGAAGUUGGAAACCAUGGCAAAGAUGUGUAGGAUUUUGGAUGGAGACAGUGAAGUCUGACAUGGUUAAGUAAAUGCCAGAGCCCAACUAGAAAGAAGCCGAAUCCAUGUCCCACCAAUUUGCCAUCUUGUUAUCCUGCUUUGGUUUGCCUUGCAAUUUUUGCUGCUUGGUUGAUAGUUUGCUUGGUUUGUGUGUUUUGUCCUACCAGAAAAGGAAAUAUGGAGGGUAUAGGAGGGGAAGAAAAGAAUGGAUCUCUACAAGUUAGAGAGGAAAAAGUAACGUGAAGGCAAGGAUAGGUUGGUUGGGAUGGUUUAUAAAGAAGGGAAUGGAGUAGGUGAACAGGUAAUCUGUACGAUUGUAUGGAAUUAUUAUAUUUUUUAUAAGAUUUGAUGUAUACUUAUAUUACCUUUUUUACACACAAAUUUUGUUUAUGUACAUCAAAAAUAUUGUAAGAGAUGUAUUUAUGCUAUCCAUUUAAUCUUGUAAGAAAUACGAUAAAUAGACAUAAUCGUAACGAAUCAUAAACGCUCCUAUUCGUGCGCCGGUGGGGUGGGGGUGGGCGGGAGAUUUGAAAUAUAUGUCAUUUUUCAAGGUCUUCAUGCUACUAUUUCUUCUUUGGGUGGAAAGCUUUUGAACAUUUUGAGGUACUCGUGACUGCAGCUUGCGUGAUUAGGAAAUGAGAUUGAGCAAAGAAGAGUUGACCGGGAACCGUUUGGCUGUUAUUUUCAAGUCAGUUGGCAAUUUUUAUUCUCUAGGGUUGAGCCAAUUUGCUGCCUGGAGAACAAAAUUGACAACUAAAAGUCAUAAUUGUCCUUCUUUUUUGCAUUAUCUUAUCACAAGGCAUGUUGAAAUAAUGAAACAAAAUCAAAACAUAGCCAAAACAAAAAAAAGUUGACAAGAAAGAAGAACAAAUAAUUCAAUUAUCAUACCGGCUAACUAAUCAUGCUAGGAAACGUGACAAAAUUUGUUAAGGAUAAAUUAACUAAAUUCUGGUUUACAUUUUUUAAAAUUUAACACUGAAAUUUGUAACAGUUUAAUUGCAUGCCAAGUUCUUUCGCCAGUCCAACUUUCUAGAUUUCACAAACUAAAGUGUCAUUGCACUAGUCUUUUGCAAUCUGUCAAUCAAUGGACCAAAGCAGAAUGAAUUGAAGAGUUUAGGUUAUAAAAUAUCCUAAAUAGAGAUUCAAGUCACAAAGUGAAAAUUGGUGUAAAAUUUAAACUGCGGUAUGAAAUUCUAACCCUUAAAUACUGUCAAGAACUACGCAGGGUUUUUUUUUUUUUUUUUUUUUCUAGAUUUUGAGGAAGUGAUUUUACAUUCGCAUAAAGUAUGAUUGGUUUCUUCACCAUAGAAUCAUCAGCUUGUGAUUAAGCAUCAAACUUAAAACACACAGGCAGCCAAGGCCCAACCAAAAAUAAAGACCAUUUUUUUUGGUUCAGAUGGAAUCAUAGAAGGCAAAGAUAUUGCAAUUAAAUCACCAGAAAACUUUUUUUUUGGGUCCCAUAACAAAAGUAAACUCAUGAUGGUAAUGCUGAAGAAGUAUAAUCUUAUCAAAGUUAAAGGAUGAUGCUAAACCAAAUAACUCGACUCGAGCUCGAAAACUACUCGAUCAACAGCUCAUAUUCAGCUCGUUUUGACCGAGUUCGAGUUCGAGCUACUCAUUUGAUCUCACAAGCCGAGCUUGAGCUCUAGUAUUUUGUACUAGAAGGCUCGACGAGUCUAAUCGAGUUUUUUACAAUAUAUAUUUUUAAAUUUUUUAAAUUUAUUAUUGUAAAAUGUCAAUAACAUCAUUUAUUUAAAAUUAUAUGUAAAAUAUUAAUUUUUAUUAUAUGAUAUUGAUUAGACUCGAAUAGGCUCGUCUAAACUCGAUUACACUCAAAUAGAUUGAUUGAACUUGAUUUGCCUUGAUUAGAUUUAAUUUAACUCGAACUCGAGUAAGGAAAACUAAAGUCGAAUUUGAGCUCGAACUCGACUUCUACAAGUUCGACGAGCUCGAACUCAGUUAUUUUACCUCAUUGAGGAAGAGUAACAAAUGACCCCGUCGCUAGCCCCUUCAACACAGCAAAAGACAACAAUUACAAUGCAAGGAUAAGUUUCCAAUUCAUCUGUAAAUGAAAAUCUAUCUCCAUAGACAAGACUCGGUUUCCAAAUCAAGUCUCGUUAGUUACUCCCACGUUGAACCACCUUUGUCACUUCUAUUCAAUGUGAGUUCAUGUGUUAGGACACAUCUUUCAAUCUGCUACACCCAUACUUGCAUACAGUUAGCGCGGUUAAAUAGAAAGCAAUGUACAUAAUAAUGGCAAAAGCAGCAGGAAAACAAAGGUUAAAACUGUUAUAUACUGCACAUAGCAGGCAUCAGAUAUAUCAGAGUUCCUUUCUGAUGGCUGUCAUUCUUUGCUCUUUUUUCCCCUUUUGAGCAAAAUAAGUAAUAAAUUCAGGUUGCAUAACAGUAUUACACAUUUGAGACAAUACCAUAUACAUCCCAAAAAAUCCGCACCAUGCCAAGAUAUUUCAGUAAGUAGGAAAUUUUGGAUCCA
RNAcentral lists this long non-coding RNA (71055 nucleotides) under Coffea arabica (coffee). Its description in RNAcentral is "long non-coding RNA (CARA_LNC005579)". The record is from RNAcentral. Lineage: Eukaryota; Viridiplantae; Streptophyta; Magnoliopsida; Gentianales; Rubiaceae.